Molecule: long non-coding RNA, 48616 nt
Filed under: Triticum aestivum (bread wheat)
Lineage: Eukaryota; Viridiplantae; Streptophyta; Magnoliopsida; Poales; Poaceae
Description: long non-coding RNA (TAES_LNC012376)
Source: RNAcentral
UUUGUCCCUCGCCGCCGCCACUCUCUCCAAAAUCCCACCUCGGGAUCCUCCCAGAUCCCCUUCUCCUCGGUUUCCUCCUCUACCCAAUCCCGAAGGCACUGCGGUCUCCUCUGCUUCCCUCGUCCUUGUUUGAUCCCAGGGGCAGCCACCGCAUCGCUGUUCCCCUGCCUCGGCCUCGCGAUCCCGCGCCUCCCUCCUACAGCCCAUGCAAGUCACCAGGAGGUGGGUUCCCGUGCUGCACAGGAGCUCCUCGUCGCCCGGAUCCGUUCCCCAGGCCGCCGGACCUUCCUGCAAGCGUCCUCGCCGGUGACCAGCAGGUCCCAACGCCACCCUUUUUUUCUUUUCCUGUCUCCUCUGUUACCUGCUCUCGAUCCCCCUCUGUCUCAUGUCCCUGUCUCUCUUCCCGCCAUGGACAGGUACCAACAAACCGUCAGCCACCAGGAGCUCAAGACGCCGCUACUCCUCGCCGGACCGCUGCCUCCGGCUACCUCCACCUCGCCGGUGAGGCCUCGCCGCCGUGCGCCCCUGAUUUUCUCUCUCUCUCUCUCUCUCUCUUUGGCCGCUCUGACCUCUCAUGAUCUCCCCCUUUUCUCUUUGAACAGAAGUAGGAGCUCCCAUGGCCGCCGCCGCCCUGGCUGCCCCAUAGGAGUUCUCUGCCGCCGGAUCGGGUCGCCUCCACCCGGUUCCUCUCGCGCCGACCGCCCGCGCCGGAGUCCUGCGCCAAGCCGCCGCCGUUGCCUCUGUUUCCCGCCGCUGCACCAUGCUGCAACGAACGCCUGCUCGAUCCAACCGCCCCGCGUUGACCGAUCCACUGGCCUGCGCUAGCCCAGCGAGACCUCCUGCAGCCCAGCACCACCAACCGGGCCUUGGCCCAUGGGUGAGCUGCCCCACCUUCUUGUUGGGCUCGUGAUUCAGAUUCGGCCUGACUAAUGUUUUUUUUCGUGCUGCGAUUUUAACAUUAUCCAGUGUAUUUCAGUUUUGCAGAAAACCCCUCAUAUAUCAUACAUUUAAUAACUCAUAAACCAUGCAUCGGUUUAAAAUGAUAUUAACAUGUAAAAUGCUUAGAAUUUUGUGUAGAUUAAUAAUAUUCCACUUUCAUCCAUGUUUAAAAUGUUUAAAAUGUUGUUUGUUUAAAUUUGCUCAAAUGCCAUGCUAAAAUGCUUUAUUUCAUAACUAAAUAACCGUAACUCUGUUUUAAAUAAACUUUAUAUGCAAAUGGGGUGGAAAAAUGCCUAGUUUAACAUGGUCUAGUUUAUUUUCCUGUUUAACAACCUUAAAAUAUGGUUUAGGGCAGAACAGUACCUAAUCGAAAAUAUGCAUAUGGGGAUUUUCUGAAAUUGUUGUUUGUUGUUCCGGCCCCAUUUAAACUUGCCUAGAUAGUUAGUUUACUUAUGUUUCAUCUCUUGCCAUGUUUAACAACAUUUAAUAUUGUUGUGUACCUAAACAAGAGUGAACUAAAUAACUCGAUGUGGUGUUUUGUCAAUAUGCAACUCAUUGCAUAUUGAGCUCCACUUAAUUUGUAGUAUUGUUUGUUGCAUAAGGCCAUGCCAUGCCUCAUUAAACCGGACAUGCAUCAUACUUGAUUGUGCAUCAUGCCAUGAUUAUGCUUGUGUGUUUACCAUGUUGCUUGCUUCUUUCCGGUUUGCUUCUCUUGUUAGCUUCGGUUUCGUUCCGGAGUUGUGAGGAUUCGUUCGACUACGUCCGUUUGUCUUCUUCGUGGACUCGUUCUUCUUCCUUGCAGGAUCUCAGGCAAGAUGACCAUUACCCUCGAUAUCACUUCUAUCUUUGCUUGCUAGUUGCUUCAUUCUAUCGCUAUGAUGCGCUACCUAUCACUUGUUUACCAUGCCUCCCAUAUUGUCAUGUCAGCCUCUAACCUUUUCACCCUUCCUAGCAAACCAUUGUUUGGCUAUGUUACCGCUUUGCUCAGCCCCUCUUAUAGCGUUGUUAGUUGUAGGUGAAGUUGAAGAUUGCUCCAUGAUGGACAGGAUUAUGUUGGGAUAGCACAAUAUCUCUCAUUUAAUUAAUGCAUCUAUAUACUUGGUAAAGGGUGGAAGACUCGGCCUUAUGCCUGGUGUUUUGUUCCACUCUUGCCGCCUUAGUUUCCGUCAUAUCGGUAUUAUGUUCCCGGAUUUUGCGUUCCUUACACGGUUGGGUGAUUUAUGGGACCCCCUUGACAGUUUGCUUUGAAUAAAACUCCUCCAGCAAGGCCCAACAUUGGUUUUAACAUUUGCCACCUAAGCCUUUUUCCCUUGGGUUCUGCAGACUCAAGGGUCAUCUUUAUUUACCCCCCGGGCCAGUGCUCCUCCGAGUGUUGGUCCAAACUAGAGCACCGUGCGGGACCAUUCCUUGGCAACUUGGAUUACGUCAGUUCCUAUACGCUUCACUUAUCCGGUGUGCCUUGAGAACGAGAUAUGUGCAGCUCCUAUCAGGAUUUGUCGGCACAACUGGGCGGCUUUGCUGGUCUUGUUUUACCAUUGUCGAAAUGUCUUGUAAACCGGGAUUCCGAGUCUGAUCGGGUCUUCCUGGGAGAAGGUAUAUCCUUCGUUGAUCGCAAGAGCUUAUCAUGGGCUAAGUUGGGACACCCCUGCAGGGUAUAAACUUUCGAAAGUCGUGCCUGCGUUUAUAGGCAGAUGGGAAUUUGUUAAUGUCCGGUUGUUAGGACCCCGACUCGAUGCCACAUCGAUCUAGCAUGUAACACCUCAUAUCACUUUGCGGCCUCACGCACGGUUUUCCCACGGGUGUCCUCUUACCUUUGCCCGGGACCGUUUGCGCCUUUUGGCACACGUAUAUGAUAGUGUCGCUAGCAUCCAUAUGGUAAGGAGCCCGGGCUGACAUGGCUAGUCGUAAACCCAAAGUGGCACAGACUUACAGGGACAGGCAUCCAUGACCCAGCAUCGAACGUGUCGGUCAUCAGCAAGUGAAUCCAGGCUGUAGCACUGGGCUAGCAGGACUCCGGUAAAUCGGGCUGUAGCGGGCUAACAGGACUCCGGUAUCCAUCGUGUGACAUUUCCCCGAAGGGACAGAAACAGGAACAAAGAAGGACACAUGCCGGCCAGCCUAAGUGUUCCGGAGCAGUAGCAAGCUACCAAGGCUCAGUGGAGACACUAGGAGACAUUUCCCAGUAAGAGAGGCUACUAAGAAUAAACAACUAGAUAGUCAGAUCCCACACAUACCAAGCAUUUCAAUCAUACACACAAUAUGCUCGAUAUGUGCAAAUACAACAAGGCAUCACAACAUGACUCUACGACACCAGUACUUUAUUUAAGGCUCAGAGAGCCAUACAUAUCAUACACACAAGUACGGGUCACACGACCCAGCAUUCAAGUCAUACAGACAUACAAGCCAACAGCGGAAGUAACUUGUCUGGGUACAGACAACUAGUAAAAUAAAAGAGGCUUGGGAAAGCCUGGCUAUACUACGUGGUCCUUCACAAGCUCAGGAUCACCACCUGGGCCUCGGUAUACUCAUCGAUGUCAACUUCUACGAAGAACCCAUCAGAAGGGGUUGCAGCGUCUUCUGAAAAAUGUAAAUUAAAGCAACAUGAGUACAAAGGUACUCAGCAAGACUUACAUCAGAUCCUACAUACAUGCACAUUAUCAAGAAGGGUUGGUGGGGUUAUUGCAGCAAGCCAGCUUUGACUCUUGGCUAAGCUAUCCUACGAUACACCAACUUGAAAUGGUUUUGCGCACACGAGUACACUACUCACCACUUCAAUACACCACCGAGGAUCCACCUCCGUCAUCCUACGGAAGAACCAUCCUUGGCACUCACGCUUAUCUUGAGAUUUUUAGUAGUAUCCAUUUACUUGUCUAUGAACUGUAUAGGAAACCAAGUAGUCCUUUACCGCGGACGCGGCUAUUCGAAUAGAUAAUGUUAACCCUGCAGGGGUGUACUUCUUCAUACACGCUCUCACCACUUACCGCCGUUUACACGACAUGUACUCGGCAACCUUCAAGCGGAAGCCCAACGUGGGUGUCGGCCACGACCUACCUAAACACCUAAUUCUCUAGUCCAGGUUUAUCGCCUAUCCAGGUUCCAUCCGCAGGGAGUCCGGCCGAGGUUUCCACAUACGGCCCCGAACGAUGUGUACAGGGUUCCCGAGAUACCUAACGGGUAUCCGGUACACCGUGCCACAUACCUACCGCAUCACAGCCCACCGCUAUGGUCAGCGCUGUCCACGGCCUCCAGUAGGCUACAAACACCAGAAAUUACUUGCAACUCCUGGACAGAGGACUAGGGUGAAUAAGAAGCCGAGAGGGUCCAUUGGUUUCAGGCCCAAUGCAUGGUAGUAGAUGAUUCUUAAAUCACACAUACAGAUCUCAGUGCUUAAGGACGGCUUCAAUGAAACAACCCACCAUGUACUCCUACAUGGCCUUUCAUCGAUACCUUUACCAAAUCGUGUUCACCACAUCACUCUCAUUACCGGCAUGAUCAUUUCACUCUAGCCCAUCACCCAGAUGAACCAGACCUGACUCGACUCUAAGCAUAGCAGGCAUAGCAAGGUAGGAACAACACAUACAUAUGGCUCAAUCAACUCCUACACAUGCUAGUGGGUUUCAUCUAGUUACUGUGGCAAUGACAGGUCAUGCAGAGGAAAUGGGUUCAACUACCGUAGCACACAGCAGUUUGGAACGCGUUGUCUUAAUGCAGUAAAAGAGAGCAGAAGCGAGAACAUGGGAUUGUAUCGAUAUGAUCAAAUGGUUGGUUGCUUGCCUGAUGGGUCGAUGCACUGAUAUUGUUCUUCGUUGGGGUAAUCACGAUACUCCUCAAGGGCAGGACCUGCCGCAGAGAGCACCGAUACACAACAUCACCAAACAAUAUGCAGUAAUAUGAUGCAUGCAUGAAACAUGGCAAUAUGAGUGUGUUGGGCUAAUGCAACUAAAACCAGAUGGGUUUGAACCAUUUUGAAUCAAAGAUUCAAGUUUCAAACUCAUACAUGGCCCUUAUAAGGUGCUUUAACUUGUUCUGCAAUAAACAGUAGGUUAGCUUGUUUAAACAUGCAUGAAACUAGUACAGAUGGAUAGAUUGGAUUUUUCUGAUCAUUUUUCAUAUAUAACACUUUGCAUUUGGAGUUAUGGUUGAUUUACUAUGAAUUUUUGAAGUUUGGGGGAUUUUCUGGAAUUUAUAAAUCAUUCUAGAUUUAUUUUAAUUCCAGAAAAGGAUUACUGCGUCAGCAUGAUGUCAUGCUGACCUCAGCAGGUCAAUAGGCCGGUCCAGGUCAAACUGACCAGUGGGUCCCGCAUGUCAGCACAAUUAGUUUAGCUAAAAAUUAAUUAGAACUAAACCGGAUUAGUUAACAGGGCUGGGCCCCACCUGUCAUUGACUCAACAGAGUCAACCAGGGCCCACCCGUGGUCAAAGUCAAGUCGGCUGCACCGGCGUUUAGCCGCCGGCGAGCCCGACGCGGCGGCGGAAGUGCUUUGGGCCGUUCCGGCCACCAAAUGGGUCGCGGAAGGCAUCUAAGUGGAGCUGGGGACAAACCGCAGCUCUUGGUGGGGUCGGGGUGGCCAGAAUCGGCGCCGACGAUGACCUAGGUGGCCGCCGGAGUUCGGGUGGAGGCGAACUCGGGGCCAGGGUGUGUGGUGAGGUGUGGGGAGUGUAUGGUUAGACCCUACGCGACGUGGUGAGUGCGAUGGACACUGAGAGGUGACCGGAGGAUGGCCGGGAGCACGUCGGCGACGAUCUCCGCGGUGGUGCGUGCGGGUGAUCUUCGUGCAGUUGCUACACAGCUCGGGGGCGAGAGAGAAAGGGAAGGGGAGGUAGCUAGGCUCACAGGGCACUCGUGGAGGCAACUGGCGGGGUCGGGGAUGGACUGAUGCGGCGACGGCGUUGCAGGGGAUCUCCGGCGACGGCGGACUCGGGUAGAGUCGGUGCGGUGGACUCGGGCCACACGAGCACGCGGGGCUCGGCUAGCUCGACGAAGAGGAUGGCGGCGGAGCUCCUAGACACGGCGAGACGGAGCACGGACGGCGGGGAGCGCGGCUACGGCGAUGGGGCGGCGGCGGUGGCGUCGGCCAUGGCUGGGGAGCACGAGGGAGAGGAGCUGGGGAGGAGAGGAGAUGUCUGAGGGGUUCGGGGGAGAGGGGGGGAGCGAUCUCCAUCAUCAGCUGGACGAGGGGAGCGGCGAGGCGGCGACCAGGUGUGUGGCACCCAUGCGGUGCUCGCCGCCGAGCACCUGCCUGCCUGCCUGGCCGAGCCAAGCAGCUCGCUGGCGCGGCAGCUGGGCUGGGCCGGCAGGUGGGCCGGUUAGUAGGCGCUAGGUAAGGUUUUCUUCCUAUUUUCCUGUUUCUGCUUUAUUCUGUAAGUUUGUGGACUUAUUAAAAAUACCUAGACAACUCCUAAAUUCCCCAAACUGCUCCUGGUCCUUAGUUGGAAUAUUUACAGCAUGGAACAUUUUAGUUUGGAAAUAUUUGAGCAUUCAAAAUAAUUUUAUAUAAUUUAAAUGCCCAAACUCAAAUACUUAUGAGUUAAUUCAAAGACCUUAGGAUGACCUAGAAAACUAUGCAUCACUUUUGGCAGAGGUUCUGAACCAAGACAAAAAUGAUGGACAUUUUGGAAGGGCAUUUCAGGUUCAUUGAAAAUAUUUUUAGUAAACCCUAGUUGGAUUCAGAGGGGGCUGGGGGUUCUGUCAUCCCCAUUUCAAGUUUCUGAUGAAAGAAUAGACAUGAUGCAACACUCUAAUGCAUGAACUAGCUAGGGUGUGACAACUCACCCCCACUCAAAAGAAUCUCGUCCCGAGAUUUAGGUUCCUCCGGAAAGAAGGCGGGGUACUCAAGUCGAAGACGAUCCUCCCUUUCCCAAGUUGCUUCCUUCUCAGAAUGGUGCGACCAUUGAACCUUGAGAAACUUGAUAUUAUGACGUUGAGUGGUACGCUCGGCUUGAUCGAGGAUACGAACGGGGUACUCUCGAUACGUGAGGUUAUCUUGAAGAUCAAGCGUUUCGUGGUCCACUGCACGGAUAGGAUCCGAGAAGCAACGCCUGAGUUGAGAAACGUGGAAGACAUCAUGGACUCUGGAAAGAUGCGGAGGUAAUUCCAAUUGGUAGGCAACUUCUCCUCGUUUAGCGAGAAUGCGAAAGGGUCCAAUGUAGCGAGGAGCCAAUUUGCCUUUGAUACCGAAGCGAUGGGUUCCCUUCAGAGGAGUAACCCGAAGGUAAGCCUUCUCGUCAACCUCAAAGGUCAUAGCCUUAUGUUUUCGGUCGUAUUGACUCUUUUGACGAGAUUGGGCUGUUUUCAACUUUUCAUGAACAAUGCGAACUUGCUCUUCUGCUUCCUGGAUCAUGUCUGGGCCAAAGAAUUGUCUUUCCCCGGUUUCUGACCAGUUAAGAGGCGUUCGACACCUUCGUCCAUAGAGAACUUCAAAAGGGGCUUUACCCAAGCUAGAUUGAUAGCUGUUGUUAUAAGCAAAUUCGGCAAAUGGAAGGCAUUUCUCCCAAUCCAUUCCGAAUGAGAUAACCGAAGCUCGAAGCAUGUCUUCUAGAAUCUGGUUGACACGUUCUACUUGACCACUUGAUUGAGGGUGAAAAGCAGUGCUAAAAGAAAGGCGGGUUCCCAUAGCAUUUUGGAAACUUUCCCAAAAUAGAGAGGUGAAGAGACUUCCUCGAUCGGAGUUAAUUUCCAGUGGAACACCAUGGAGAGACAUUAUUCGGAAGAUGUACAAGUCUACUAAUUGACUAGCGGUUAUACUCUCGCGAACAGGUAAGAAAUGGGCUACUUUGGAAAGACGAUCGACAACGACGAAGAUAGCGUUAUUCCCUCUCUUGGUCCUGGGAAAACCGGUAAUGAAAUCCAUACCAAUUUUAUCCCAUUUCCAUUCGGGAAUAGCUAAGGGUUGAAGGGUGCCAGUAGGCCGCUGAUGCUCUGCUUUUACACGGCGACAGACGUCGCAGCUAGCAACAAACUGAGCAAUGUCUCUCUUCAUCCUAGUCCACCAGAACCUCUGGCGUAGGUCCUGAUACAUCUUAGUACUACCGGGAUGAAUGGUGAGAGGAGAUUCAUGAGCUUCCUUUAGGAUCAAUAGCCUCAGGUUUCGCACUUUGGGAACCACUAGACGGUUCCCGAAGUAUAUGACUCCUUGAUCAUCAAUGGAGAAACAAUUCGCAACUCCUUUCUUGAUGUUUCUUUUGAUGCGGGAAAUCCUCGGAUCUACCUUCUGUGCUUUGAUGAUCUGAUCCGUAAGGGUAGGUUUCGCCACCAAGGUGGAAAGGAAUCCUUGAGGAACAAUGUGAAGGUUAAGCUUCCGAAAUUCCUCAUGGAGAAGCGGUUGACUUUGUUGUAACAUCAGAUUGUUACAAUAAGAUUUACGACUUAGUGCAUCAGCCAUGACGUUGGCCUUUCCUGGGGUGUAAGUUAUUCCUAAGUCGAAAUCUAUGAUCAACUCAACCCAACGUCUUUGCCUGAGAUUCAAAUCCGGUUGGGUGAAGAUGUACUUCAGACUUUGGUGAUCGGUGAAGAUUUCGCAACAAUUACCGAGGAGGUAAUGUCGCCAGGUUUUAAGUGCAUAGACUAUAGCUACAAGCUCUAGAUCAUGAGUAGGAUAAUUCUCCUCAUGUGGGUGUAAUUGCCGUGAAGCAUAAGCAAUUACGUGACGAUCUUGCAUUCUAGUCCUUGUCGCGAGGCGUCGCAAUAGAUAACAAAGUCCUUAGAGAAAUCUGGUGGUACCAAUACGGGAGCAGAUGUCAGGCGUCUUUUCAGUUCCUGAAAGCUGUGCUCACAUUGUGGAGUCCACUCGAACUUUUUAUCUUUCUUGAGGAGUUCAGUUAGAGGUUUGGCAACUUUGGAGAAGUUCUCGACAAAGCGGCGACAAUAGCUCGCUAAGCCAAGGAAACUCCGAACUUGCUUGACCAAUUCAGGUGGAGUCCAAUUAAGGACGGCUCGAACUCGCUCGGGGUUAAUAGCAAUACCUUUACCAAAAAUUACAUGUCCUAGAUAGGUCACUUCUGGCAACCAAAAUUCACAUUUAGAGAACUUGGCAUAAAGGCGAUGCUCUCGAAGUUUCAUCAACACUAGCCUUAGAUGUUCGGCAUGUUCUUCCUCGUUCUUGGAGUAGAUGAGUAUAUCAUUGAGGUAGACCACGACGAAUUUAUCCAAAUACUCCAUGAAGAUUGAGUUCAUUAACCGAGAAAAGGUGGCUGGGGCGUUGGUUAGACCGAAGGACAUGACGGUGUACUCGUAUUGGCCAUAACGAGUAACAAAGGCCGUUUUAGGAAUGUCCCCGUUCCGGAUUUUGAUUUGAUGGUAGCCUAAUCUCAAAUCCAUUUUAGAGAAGACUGAGGAUCCAGCGAGCUGAUCAUACAGGUCGUUGAUCCUGGGGAGUGGAUACUUGUUCUUGAUUGUGACGAGGUUGACUGGUCGAUAAUCUACAACCAUCCGGUCCGUACCAUCCUUCUUCUUGACGAAGAGGACGGGGCAAGCCCAUGGAGACGAACUAGGUCGGAUGAAACCCUUUUUCAAGGACUCAUCGAGUUGUUUCUUAAGCUCGGCUAGUUCUAGUGGUGCCAUCUUAUAGGGUCUUCUAGCAAUCGGGACAGUUCCUGGAAUGAGAUCUAUCACGAACUCAACAUCUCUGUCAGGUGGAACACCUGGCAAUUCCUCUGGGAAGACAUCUGAGAAGUCACGGACUACCGGAAUGUCUUCAAGGUCUGGCAACGGACUGGCAUUAAGAGAAUAUAGCUGUCGCUUAGCUACUCGGGUCAAGACAUUGACUAUCUUUCCCGAAGGAUGUGUGAGUUGAACAGUCCUAGAGAAACAAUCAAUUUUAGCAUGAUGGGCUGACAUCCAGUCCAUGCCCAAAAUGAUAUUAAUAUCCGAAGAUUUGAGAGCUAUCAAAGAUGCGAGAAAAACAAGUCUGUCGACUUGAAUUUCAUUCCCAUGGCUUACUCUAGAAGUUUGCCAUUUGGAUCCCGGGGUUUGAAUUACCAUAGAGGUGGGCAUCUCACAGAAUGUGGUGUUAUGCAGACGAGCAUAGCUCUCGGAUAUAAAUGAAUGAGAUGCUCCUGUAUCGAAAAGAACAGAUGCCAGGUGGCAAUUAACAAGGAGCGUACCAAGAACGACGUUGGGAUCCUCUUGAGCUUCUUCGGCAGAGAUACAGUUGACAUGGCCACGUGCAGCGGUGGCCGGCUUGGCGUAGAACGCUUUCCCUGUCGACUUGCCACGGCCAACAGCUUUUCCAGAUUGGUUGGGGUUGGUCUGGGGACACUCGCGCAGAUAGUGGCCCGGUUCCCCACAUUUAAAGCAAGUCACAGAGCUGGUACGUGGAGGAGCAUUGUUGGUUGGACCACCAUAGGGCUUGGCUGGUGUAAACUAUUGGGCGGGGCGAGGCAAUUGAAAGGAUGGCCUCGGUGUGAACCUGGGUGGCAGGGCAGUGUUAGGCACCCACACGCGGCGCUUCUGAGGACCAGCACCGGAUGAAGAACCCAUGUCACGGCCAUGCUUGCGUGUUGCUUCAAAAUCGGUCUGACCAGACUCAGCACUGAUGGCUUUGUUAACAAGCUUCUGAAAAGAUGUGCACUCAUGCAGACGGAGAUCGCGGCGAAGCUCAGGGCUAAGUCCCUUACGGAACCUUGCUUGCUUCUUGGCAUCAGUAGAGACUUCCUCAGUUGCAUAUCGUGCAACGUUACCGAACUCCCUGUUGUAAGCAUCCAUAGAAAGUCGACCUUGAGUGAAACUGCAGAACUCCUCACGUUUACGGUCCAUGAGACCCUCCGGAAUGUGAUGAUCAUGGAAAGCCUCGCUGAAUUCAGCCCAAGUAGUGACAUGGCCCGCUGGGCGCAUAGCUCCAUAGUUCUCCCACCAUAGACUGGCGGGGCCUUCAAGAUGAUAUGCAGCAAAGGUGACCUUAUCAGCCUCAGCUACUAGCGCAGAACGCAGUUUGUGAGUAAUACUGCGAAGCCAGUCAUCGGCGUCAAGAGGCUCGACGGAGUGGUGGAAAGUGGGUGGAUGUAACUUGAUGAAAUCACUGAGUGACACCAAGUUAUUCCUCUGAUGGUGUGUUGUGUUUUGCUCGAUGCGCUCCAACAAACGGUUAGUCUCCCGCUUGUUUCUCUCGACUUCCAGCAUAACUUCGGCCAGAGAGGGAGGGUGAGGCAGAUUUGUUCCCCCAACUCUGCUGCCUUCGGCCUGCUCUGGGGGAGUAGGGUUGGUGCGGGUGUUAACCAUCCUAGGAAAACAAAGCAAUGGUUUAGUCCAGGAUGAUAGGAUUUUGACAUAGAAAUGUAGAAUGUAAUGGAUAACUUGGAAUGUAAGAUGAUCAUCCGUAUGACAUGGUAGAUACAGAAACUACUUCUUUUAUUCCAUCGUCAUACACACCAUACAAGGUUUAGUAUAGAACCAAACAAAGUACUGCUAUGGUGAAAUUAGGAUUACAUCUCAUCGGAGGCAUUCCGAGCUCCUAUACAUUUUUUUUCUACAUCUUCGGAAGGCGGUACAAACUAAGGCAUAUCCCACGAGUCACGCAGGACGGUGGACGAUAUAGCUAGUACGACACUAGUGAUACUACUACUAACUCAGACAGCUCCGUAGUAGUCUUCAUAGAAGUCACCUCCAUAGCCUGGAAGCUCAACGUGAUCAUCCGGAAAUAGUCGGUCCCGUGGAGCUUGUGGACCAUAGGGGCUAGGAUGAGGUCUUGGGCCAAUAAACGGUGGCCUACGGGGACCACGAGGUCGGGUGAUGCCUCCUACAUCAUGCCAAUCCAUCACGUCUGGCAGAGCAGAUCUCACAGGAUAGAGAUCUCGCAUAUCCAUAUAUCCAGCUUGCACAGUCGGUGCAAACCGAGUCAAAGUGGCCCAAUGAUCAGCAUGGGUAUUGAAAAGCUCUAACCUCAAGGCCCGAUUUUCACGGUCCUUGUCUUCAAGCAACUGUGCAGUGGUGUGGGUCCGUGAAUCCUCCUGGGUGGAGUCAGCAUAGAUAGCCUGGAGAUACCCUUGUGCUCCUGUAAGUGAUGCUGGCAUAUACCGGAAAUCAGAGUCCCGAAAUAGGCCAGUCCUGACUCGCAUGAUGGUCAUCAUAGAGUAGGCAGCAUCCUGCACAGCCAUCUCAAUAGUAACCCCGAGUCCAUAGGAGCAGUGAAGGGGCUCGGUAGAUCCAGGAUAAGAUGGAAAUAUCCUGACAGUGCAAAGAUAUUGACUUUGAUUAAAGUCUCGGAAUUGCUCUUCAACCGUGUACUCAGGAUACCAACGGUAUCCAGCCUCGGUCAUUACCCUGACCAACAUAGCAGUAUGGCCGGGUACAUCUAGACAUCGAGUCAAACGAACCACUUGAUUCUGAGGACGGGACGCCAUCUGGAACAUGAUAAACACAAGACAUUAAAAUUCCUAGCAAAAAUUGGAUAGCAUAACGGCUGUAAAUGCUCAAAAAGGAUUUUGAGGCAUUUGACAAAGAAUUGCAUAGACACUCAACAACAUCAUAUCAAAGUUCUGGGUCCAUCUUAGCAACAUAAUGGGAUAGUAGAACUGAACUAGGCUUGUAUGCAUCAAACCUAUAAGGUACUACUGAUUAGUAACACGUGAAGUUGAUAGAGAGGAGAGAUCCUAGUCCUUAACCCCCGGUAGAAGAAUAGACUGACUCAGAUCAGAAUGUCAUGAGAUAGAGGAGUAAAAAGAGCCUUACGUUCCAUCCCACAAUCAAUUCCCCUAUAUAUAACUAAAGAAUUUCUAGACUCAACAUCGACCAGUUUGGCUUGGAGAACCUACAGGCAGUCCGGCUCUGAUGCCAACGCUGUCAGGACCCCGACUCGAUGCCACAUCGAUCUAGCAUGUGACACCUCAUAUCACUUUGCGGCCUCACGCACGGUUUUCCCACGGGUGUCGUCUUACCUUUGCCCGGGACCGUUUGCACCUUUUGGCACACGUAUAUGAUAGUGUCGCUAGCAUCCAUAUGGUAAGGAUCCCGGGCUGACAUGGCUAGUCGUAAACCCAAAGUGGCACAGACUUACAGGGACAGGCAUCCAUGACCCAGCAUCGAACGUGUCGGUCAUCAGCAAGUGAAUCCGGGCUGUAGCACUGGGCUGGUAGGACUCUGGUAAACCGGGUUGUAGCGGGCUAACAGGACUCCGGUAUCCAUCGCGUGACAUUUCCCCGAAGGGACAGACACAGGAACGAAGAAGGACACAUGCCGGCCAGCCUAAGUGUUCCGGAGCAGUAGCAAGCUACCAAGGCUCAGUGGAGACACUAGGAGACAUUUCCCAGUAAGAGAGGCUACUAAGAAUAAACAACUAGAUAGUCAGAUCCCACACAUACCAAGCAUUUCAAUCAUACACACAAUAUGCUCGAUAUGUGCAAAUACAACAAGGCAUCACAACAUGACUCUACGACACCAGUACUUUAUUUAAGGCUCAGAGAGCCAUACAUAUCAUACACACAAGUACAGGUCACACGACCUAGCAUUCAAGUCAUACAGACAUAGAAGCCAACAGCGGAAGUAACUUGUCUGGGUACAGACAACUAGUAAAAUAAAAGAGGCUUGGGAAAGCCUGGCUAUACUACGUGGUCCUUCACAAGCUCAGGAUCACCACCUGGGCCUCGGUCUACUCAUCGAUGUCAACGUCUACGAAGAACCCAUCAGAAGGGGUUGCAGCGUCUUCUGAAAAAUGUAAAUUAAAGCAACAUGAGUACAAAGGUACUCAGCAAGACUUACAUCAGAUCCUACAUACAUGCACAUUAUCAAGAAGGGUUGGUGGGGUUAUUGCAGCAAGCCAGCUUUGACUCUUGGCUAAGCUAUCCUACGAUACACCAACUUGAAAUGGCUUUGCGCACACGAGUCCACUACUCACCACUUCAAUACACCACCGAGGAUCCACCUCCGUCAUCCUACGGAAGAACCAUCCUCGGCACUCACGCUUAUCUUGAGAUUUUUAGUAGUAUCCAUUUACUUGUCUAUGAACUGUAUAGGCAACCAAGUAGUCCUUUACCGCGGACGCGGCUAUUCGAAUAGAUAAUGUUAACCCUGCAGGGGUGUACUUCUUCAUACACGCUCUCACCACUUACCGCCGUUUACACAACAUGUACUCGGCAACCUUCAAGCGGAAGCCCAACGUGGGUGUCGGCCACGACCUACCUAAACACCUAAGUCUCUAGUCCAGGUUUAUCGCCUAUCCAGGUUCCAUCCGCAGGGAGUCCAGCCGAGGUUUCCACAUACGGCCCUGAACGAUGUGUACAGGGUUCCCGAGAUACCUAACGGGUAUCUGGUACACCGUGCCAUGUACCUACCGCAUCACAGCCCACCCCUACGGUCAGCGCUGUCCACGGCCUCCAGUAGGCUACAAACACCAGAAACUACUUGCAACUCCUAGACAGAGGACUAGGGUGAAUAAGAAGCCAAGAGGGUCCAUUGGUUUCGGGCCCAAUGCAUGGUAGUAGCUGAUUCUUAAAUCACACAUACAGAUCUCAGUGCUUAAGGACGGCUUCAAUGAAACAACCCACCAUGUACUCCUACAUGGCCUUUCAUCGAUACCUUUACCAAAUCGUGUUCACCACAUCACUCUCAUUACCGGCAUGAUCAUUUCACUCUAGCCCAUCACCCAGAUGAACCAGACCUGACUCGACUCUAAGCAUAGCAGGCAUAGCAAGGUAGGAACAACACAUACAUAUGGCUCAAUCAACUCCUACACAUGCUAGUGGGUUUCAUCUAGUUACUAUGGCAAUGACAGGUCAUGCAGAGGAAAUGGGUUCAACUACCGUAGCACACAGCAGUUUGAAACGUGUUGUCUUAAUGCAGUAAAAGAGAGCAUAAGGAGAACAUGGGAUUGUAUCGAUAUGAUUAAAUGGUUGGUUGCUUGCCUGAUGGGUCGAUGCACUGAUAUUGUUCUUCGUUGGGGUAAUCAUGAUACUCCUCAGGGGCAGGACCUGCCGCAGAGAGCACCGAUACACAACAUCACCAAACAGUAUGCAGCAAUAUGAUGCAUGCAUGAAACAUGGCAAUAUGAGUGUGUUGGGCGAAUGCAACUAAAACCAGAUGGGUUUGAACCAUUUUGAAUCAAAGAUUCAAGUUUCAAACUCAUACAUGGCCCUUAUAAGGUGCUUUAACUUGUUCUGCAAUAAACAGUAGGUUAGCUUGUUUAAACAUGCAUGAAACUUGUACAGGUGGAUAGAUUGGAUUUUUCUGAUCAUUUUUCAUAUAUAACACUUUGCAUUUGGAGUUAUGGUUGAUUUACUAUGAAUUUUUGAAGUUUGGGGGAUUUUCUGGAAUUUAUAAAUCAUUCUAGAUUUAUUUUAAUUCCAGAAAAGGAUUACUGCGUCAGCAUGAUGUCAUGCUGACCUCAGCAGGUCAACAGGCCGGUCCAGGUCAAACUGACCAGUGGGUCCCGCAUGUCAGCACAAUUAGUUUAGCUAAAAAUUAAUUAGAACUAAACCGGAUUAGUUAACAGGGCUGGGGGUUCUGUCAUCCCCAUUUCAAGUUUCUGAUGGACAUUUUGGAAGGGCAUUUCAGGUUCAUUGAAAAUAUUUUUAGUAAACCCUAGUUGGAUUCAGAGGGGGCUGGGGGUUCUGUCAUCCCCAUUUCAAGUUUCUGAUGAAAGAAUAGACAUGAUGCAACACUCUAAUGCAUGAACUAGCUAGGGUGUGACACCGGUUGUAGAUAACUUGACACCAGAUCCGAAUUAAAACGCAUCAACCGCGUGUGUAGCCGUGAUGGUCUCUUUUCGGUGGAGUCCGGGAACUGAACACGGUUUUGGGUUAUGUUUGACGUAAGUAGGAGUUCAGGAUCACUUCUUGAUCAUUGCUAGCUCCACGACCGUUCCAUUUGCUCUCUUCUCGCUCUUAUUUGCGUAUGUUAGCCACCAUAUCUUUCUUAGUCGCUGUUGCAACCUCACCACUUUACCCCUUCCUUUCCCUUUAAGCUUUGCUAGUCUUGAUACCCAUGGUAAUGGGAUUGCUGAGUCCUCGUGGCUCACAGAUUACUACAACAACAGUUGCAGGUACAGGUUAUGCGAUGAUCAUGACGCAAGAGCGAUGCUUGCUUGUUUUGGAGUUCUUCUUCUGCUUCUUCUUUGAUCAGGAGAUAGGUUCCAGGUCGGCAGCCUGGGCUAGCAGGGUGGAUGUCGUUUGAGUUUUUGUUUGUGAUUCAUCCGUAGUCGGAUGAUGCUCUUAUGUAUUGUGAUGUUGUAUUCGUGUGGCAUUGUAUACCUCUUGUAUGUAUCCCCAUCUAUUAUGUAAUGUUGAUGUAAUGCUAUCCACCUUGCAAAAGUGUUUCAAUAUGCGGUUCUAUCCUUGGUGGGACCUUCUAGUCUCUUUAGGAUAGUAUCGCAUAUUGGGCGUGACAUUAUGUUGUUGUCCUUUGGUGCCCAUCAUAUGAGCGCGCGCGUGGAUCACACCAUAGGGUUAGUUGUAUGUUGAUAGGACUAUGUAUUGGAGGGCUAGAAUGACAGAAGCUUCAACCUAGCAUAGAAAUUGAUGCAUACGGGAUUGAAGGGGGACCAAUAUAUCUUAAUGUUAUGGUUAGGUUUUACCUUAAUGAACGUUAGUAGUUGCGGAUGCUUGCUAAUAGUUCCAAUCAUAAGUGCAUAGAAUUCCAAGUCAGGGAUGACAUGCUAGCAGUGGCCUCUCCCACAUAAAACUUGCUAUCGGUCUAGUGACAUAGUCAAUUGCUUAGGGACAAUUCCACAACUCCUACCACCACUUUUCCACACUCGCUAGAUUUACUUUAUUGCAUAUUUAUCUAAAGAUCCCCUACUUUUUAUUUAUGUGUUCUUUAUUAUCUUGCAAACCUAUCAUAUCACACCUACAAAGUACCUCUAGUUUCAUACUUGUUCUAGGUAAAGCGAACGUCAAGCGUGCGUAGAGUCGUAUCAGUGGCCGAUAGGACUUGAGAGAGUAUUUGUUCUACCUUUAGCUCCUCGUUGGGUUUGACACUCUUACUUAUCGAAAGAGGCUACAACUAUCCCGUAUACUUGCGGGUCAUCAGGUUGUCAGUAUUUGCAGGUUGUGAAUUGUGUUUUGUGUUGUGUAUUUUGAGAGUACUUUCAGAUAUGAAUUUCUUUUGAAUUUCAAAUUUGCAAUAUUGAGCAUAUGAAGUAUUUUAUGAAUUCUAGAGAUCUAUUUUUAGCACUUAAAAAAUGUAGUUUCAUAGGAGUAUAAAAGUGCAGACAAUGUGAUUCUCAGAGAAGAAACUGCAAGUUUCAGUUUAAGAUAAGAAAUUGCAAGUUCAGUUUUAGAUAAGAAACUGCAACUUUCAGAGGCAGAGCAUUUAUAUUAACACGGCCUUUUCAAACAAGGUUAACAUCAUGUUGGAAGUUUUAUUCAUGGUCGAAAAUGGAACUACCAGCCAGUUAACAUCAUGCUGAUCAACAUUCAUGCAUAGCACAUCUUCAUAUGAUGCACAGUCAAAAAGAUAUGCUAUUUUCAAAAUGCCAACACAAUGUCGAGUGUGCGAAACAUAGAGAAAACGAGGGACGAAGUUUUGGCAAGUGUUGGACGUGGUGUGCAUAGAUGAUAGUGGGGACCCACAUGUCAAUAUAGGCAGAGGCAAAAAAAUUGGAGAUAUUUUCCCUGCACAGGUGGAAUCGAACCCGGGCGGAACAGCUGUCGGGUAGUGUCACUUGGCCACUAGGCUAGUUCAGUAGUUUCGUUAAUAAUAAGGCAGUUCCUCAGGUAGUCGGAUCCCCUCCUGCGCCUUUGUGCACUCGCCGCGACGCCGCUGUCUACCAUUGUGAACAUGCUGAACAAACGAGAGGAAUCUAGAGAGGACUAUACGUGGAGAGGCGGACAGUCGGGACCCAUCAGGUCUAUGGCCGUAGGCAAGCAAGUGCCUCAUCGAAAAAAUACUUCCUCCUAAUGCUAUACUGACAUUGGGGCCAAAUCUGCACCUAAGAGCAAUACCAGGAGUAUACCAGCUGCUGAUAAGAACAAGGCCCCAGUGCCUGAAGUUGCUGCUGAGGAAGAUGAAGAAGGACAACUCCUAAAGAAGCUCAAACCCAAGAUUCUAGACCACAAUGAUGCUCAUCCAGUGGCUGAAAAUAUGAAGCUAAGGAAGGAUGCAGGGCUCAGGCAAUGGAGAUUGUCUGAUCCAUACGCAAUUAGGAGGAGAACUGUUGUAGAUUGCAGGUUCCACACUAAGGAACAGCAGGACUUCUAUGAGAAUGUGUUGUUGGAUAAGAAGCCCAUAGUCUAUGACAUGAGGUGGGUGGACUGGAAAUACAUGAAGGCCAAUGAGGAUCAUUACCCAGGAGUGUAUGAUAGCUUUAAGGCUUGUGGAGUUGAUGAGUUUGUUGGACAGAAGUUCACAAACUGGAAUGAUGAGCUAGUUAUGCAAUUCUACUCCACAGCUCAUUUUUAUCCUGAUGGCAGGAUUGUCUGGAUGUCUGAAGGUACAAGGUACCAAUCAACUAUUGAGGAAUGGGCCAAUUUGAUUAAUGCCCCGGAGGAGAAGGAAGAUGACUUGGAUGUCUACUCCAAGAAGAAGAAGGAUCACAAUUCCAUGUCUCAUAUGUACAAGGAGAUCCCAGACAAGGCCCUUGAAACUUUCAAGUUUGGGUCUGUCCACUUUCUUCUGCUAGGGCUACCAAUAAUCAACUGGAUUCUUAGGCACACUCUUUUGCCCAAGUCAGGUGACCACAACAUGAUCAGAGUGCAUGCAAUCAAUAUGCUUCACUUUUUUUAUGUGCCACAGAGAUUCAAGGUCAUGAGCCUCAUAGUUGAGACUAUCAAGAGGAUAGUAGCAAACCAAAAGAGAAGUUGUGGAUAUGCCCCACAAAUCCAGGAGCUGAUCAACUCAAAGAUGGGCACAAGAAAGUAUCUGUUGGAUAAGGAACACUUUGUUCUCUAUCCAGACUUUGAGGACAAUCAAGUUGUCAUGAAUGAGGAUGACCCAUCAUCAGUGCAAGCUCAAGAGAAGAAGGAGAAAACAAAGAAAGAGAAGGCUGCCAAGAUGCCAACUCUAGAGGAGGCAUCUGAAUACUUUUUGAAGAGCAAGCAGGACCAACUUGGUUACUUGAUAGCAUCAACUCUAAGGAUUGAGAAGGGGUUGGCCACCCUAACUCAAAACCAGGAGAGCCUGGAAAGAAUCAUGGAACAAAAAUUCUAUGAUUUAGAUGUCAAAGUAACUGAGAUUCAGUCAGUUGUGGAGCAGCUAUAGGAUGACAUGCAGGAGAGGAAGGGCAGGACAACUACUGAUGCAUUUGCCAGAGUGCCUCGAGCUCAGAGAUCAGCUGCAGAGCCAGUGACAGACGCCAGAGCCACUUCAUCUGCACCAGCAACAGCUCCAGUGCAACCAGCUCCAGCACCAACUCCUUCAGCUCCAUCCACAUCAACUUAAGUCUUCGUCCAAGGAGCCAUCUCUACACCACCAACUGAAGACCAAGCCUGAGAGACGAUAUAGUACUAUGCAUUUUCUAGGAACUUUUUGGUAACUUGUUGCCAAAGGGGGAGAAAAAUGUAUAGAUCAUAGGCUUCGAGAGAGAGAGAGUUUGCUUUUGUUCUCUCUUGUCUUCUUGGUUGAACUUUGUUUCCUUUUGCUUGCUUGAGAUACUAUGCUAUUAUCUGUGAGACAUUGAUGAUCAUGUGUUUGAUCAUAAGCUACACUUAUGCUUGUUAGAUGAUAUUAUCUUAUUUAUCCUUAUAUGAUCAUCCACUUUGCUUGGUGAUGAGUGCAUGUAUUCAAUCUUUAUUAUUUUGAGCGCUCCACCAAGAUGUAUGUGACAUGGAAGAGUAACCCAUGAGCCUAAUUCCUUGUGCAUUUGCAGUCCAAAGCAAAUCUUAAACUAUGCACAAAUUUAGGGGGAGCUCUUGCUUAUCACAUACUUCUCAAAGCGACGAUGUUUUUCAAUCUUAUUAUCAUUUGUCGAAGCUUUGAUCUAUAUGUUGUCAUCAAUUACCAAAAAGGGGGAGAUUGAAAGUGCAACUAUCCCUAGGUGGUUUUGGUAAUUCAUAUCAACAUAUAGCUCAUUGAGCUAAUACUAUUCCAAGACUAAUAUUUCAGGAAAGCUCAAUGAAUGGCAUGGCAUGGAUGAUGAAAGUGGAUCCCUCAAAAUAUUAAGGACAAAAGGAUUGGCUCAAGCUCAAAAGCUCAAGACUCUACAUUUUAUAUUUUAGUGAUCCAAGAUCACAUUGAGUCUAUAGGAAAAGCCAAUACUAUCAAGGAGGGAUGAGGUGUUGCUUAAUGAGCCUCUUGCUUCAAGUGCUUAGUGAUAUGCUCCAAAAACCCUCAACUACUUUCUCAUAUCCACAUAUGACCUAAACCUAAAGUCAAAAUUGGUCCCACCGAUUCUUUCUAUCCGGCGCCACCGAGUUCAAAUGUCAUAGCCACUGCCACAAACCCUAGGCAAAUCGGUCUCACCGAUAGGGAUCUCGGUCUCACCGAGAUGGGAUUGUAAUCUCUCUGUUUCCCUUCGUAACGUUUCGGUCUAACUGAAGUGAGCGAUCGGUCCCACCGAGAUUGCAAUGCAAACUCUCUAUUGCCCUUUCGUAACAUUUCGGUCUCACCGAAAAGAGCGAAUCGGUCCCACCGAGUUUACCUGACCAACUCUCUGGUUAGCUAAUUACCAAAAUCGGUCUCACCGAGUUUGUGUAAUCGGUCUCACCGAGAUUACGUUAUGCCCUAACCCUAAUCAUAUCGGUCCCAUCGAAUUGCAUGUCGGUCCCACCGAAAUCACUAACGGUCACUAGGUUUACUAAAUCGGUCUGACCGAGUUUGUUGAUUCGGUCCCACCGAGAUUGGUAAAUUGUGUGUAACGGUUAGAUUUUGUGUGGAGGCUAUAGAUACCCCUCCACCUCCUCUUCAUUCGUGGAGAGAGCCAUCAGAACAAACCUACACUUUGAACUUACCAUUUUUGAGAGAGAACUACCUAUUCAUGUGUUGAGGCCAAGAUAUUCCAUUCCUACCAUAUGAAUCUCGAUCUCUAGCCUUCCCAAUGUUGCUUUCCACUCAAAUCUUCUUUCCACCAGAUCCAAAUCCUAUGAGAGAGAGUUGAGUGUUGGGGAGACUAUCAUUUGAAGCACAAGAGCAAGGAGUUCAUCAUCAAUGCACCAUUUGUUACUUCUUGGAGAGUGGUGUCUCCUAGAUUGGCUAGGUGUCACUUGGGAGCCUCCGACAAGAUUAUGGAGUUGAACCAAGGAGUUUGUAAGGGCAAGGAGAUCGCCUACUUCGUGAAGAUCUACCGCUAGUGAGGCAAGUCCUUCAUGGGCGACGGCCAUGGUGGGAUAGACAAGGUUGCUUCUUCGUGGACCCUUCUUGGGUGGAGCCCUCCAUGGACUCGCGCAACCAUUACCCUUCGUGGGUUGAAGUCUUCAUCAACGUGGAUGUACGAUAGCACCACCUAUCGGAACCACGACAAAAACAUCUGUGUCUCCAAUUGCGUUUGAAUUCUCCAAACCCUUCCCUUUACUUUCUUGCAAGUUGCAUGCUUUACUUUCCGCUGCUCACAUACUCUUUGCAUACUUUCUUGAAUUGUGUGAAGAUUGCUUGACUUUUGCAAAGAUAGCUAAAAUCUGCCAAAGUCUAAAAUUGGGAAAAGGUUAAGUUUUUAAUUGGUCAAGUAGUCUAAUCACCCCCCCCCCCUCUAGACAUACUUCAAGGUCCUACAACGGCCUUGUGUUCGACCAGCCACAUUCGAAACAGGAUCAUGUUCAUCGGGAGGGGUUUGGCGUACCGCAAAACGGAGGAAACGGACUUGUGUUGAACCUCCUACAGUCGAAACGGGGUCCUGUUGAUCGGGAGGGGUGUGGCGUACCACAAAACAGAGGAAACGGACUUGUGUUGGAGCGCUACAGUCGAAACGAGGGUCCUGUUCAUCGGGAGGGGUGUGGCCUACCGCAAAACGGGACUCCACGGGAUACUGUUCAUCUCCACCGUCGACCUCCUCCAGCCUCCACGGGCUACUGUUCAUCCACCGUCAACCUCCUCCAGCCUCCACCUGCGACUUUUCAUCCACGGACUCUUGUUCAUCUAGCCUCCACCAUGUGCUACUCCACCGGCUACUAGUCAACCAGCCCUCUCCAUGGGCUCCUGUUCAACCACCCCUCCAUGGGCUACUGGUCAUCCACCCCUCCACCUUCUACUAUUCAUCCAUCCCUCCACGGGGUCGUCCUGUUCAUCCAGCCCUCCACGGGGUCCUGUUCAUCCAGCCCCAACCGGCUCGAUCGAUCGGGGUCAUGUUCAUCUAGAGGCAACACCACGAGGUCAUGUUCAUCCACCCCCACUACUCACUGUUUAUCCAAACCCCCCAGCAAUGCUCACUGUUCAUCCAGAGGCAGCAUCGAUCGGCUUCAGUUAGCAGCAGUAGCGAAGGAAUCGCUCGAUCGGGUUCAGUUAACAACCAUCGAUCGAUUGCUCGGGUUCAGUAACGUGUAGCUUGCAGUGCAAUCGCUUGGGUUUAGUAGUCGAACGCCUUGCUCGGGUUCAGUUAGAGCCCAACGCCUCGCACCCACGUGCGUGCGUGUAUGAGAGAAACGCACAAACCUCCGUGCAUCGCUCGGCCCCGACCACCCAUCGUAACCGGGAACACCCCGAUAUUUUCCUCGACCUCACUUCUACCACGGUUUUUUCCAUCAGGGACGGCCCAAAGACUGUCAUGCAGCUGCGUCUCCGGCCCGCCCAGGACGAAAAGCCUAUUUUCUGUCAUGAUUUUUUGUCAUAGAAGUAGGAGCCCACCACAUCUAUGAUGAUAUCGGGUUUUGUCACAAUUAUUGUCAUAGACGUGUCAUAAGUAUGACAGAAAAAAUUCGUUCAGCCCAAAAUGUCACGGAUGUGUCUUUUUUAUAUAGUGUGAAGUUUGCUAUAGCGAACUUGGCUGUGCACUGGUGAUCAACAGGGAAGAGCUAUGAGACAAAGAUGAUGUCUGCGGUGAUUAACUAAGGAAUGACUACAAUUGAGGGAGUUCCGGACUAGGGGGUGUCCGGAUAGCCGAACUAUCAUCAUCGGCCGGACUCCAAGACUAUGAAGAUACAAGAUUGAAGACUUCGUCCCGUGUCCGGAUGGGACUUUCCUUGGCGUGGAAGGCAAGCUUGGCGAUACGGAUAUGUAGAUCUCCUACCAUUGUAACCGACUUUGUGUAACCCUAGCCCUCUCCGGUGUCUAUAUAAACCGGAUGGCUUUAGUCCUUAGGACGAACAACAAUCAUACCAUAGGCUAGCUUCUAGGGUUUAGCCUCAUUGAUCUCGUGGUAGAUCCACUCUUGUAACACACAUCAUCAAUAUUAAUCAGGCAGGACGUAGGGUUUUACCUCCAUCAAGAGGGGCCGAACCUGGGUAAAACAUCGUGUCCCUUGUCUCCUGUUACCAUCCGCCUAGACGCAUAGUUCGGGACCCCCUACCCGAGAUCCGCCGGUUUUGACACCGACAUUGGUGCUUUCAUUGAGAGUUCCUCUGUGUCGUCACCGAUAGGCUCGAUGGCUUCUCCGACCGUCAUCAACGACGCAGUCCAGGGUGAGACCUUUCUUCCCGGACAGAUCUUUGUAUUCGACGGCUUUGCACUGCGGGCCAAUUCGCUUGGCCAUCUGGAGCAGAUCGAAAGCUACGCCCCUGGCCGUCAGGUCAGAUUUGGAAGUUUGAACUUCACGGCUGACAUCCGCGGGGACUUGAUCCUCGAUGGAUUCGAGCCACAGCCGAGCAUGCCGCACUGUCACGGCGAGCAUGAUUUAGCUCUGCAGCCGGACAGUACCCCGGAGGCCGCACUCGAACUCGCCCCGAUCUUCAAUUCGGAGCCGGCUGCGCAAAUCGAGGAUGGAUGGCUAGACACCGCCUCGAGGGCUGCAACCUCUACGGCGAUAGAGCCGAACACUGACCUUGUCCCUCAUAAAGCUCGUGACUCCAAGGCGCCGGACUCCUUGCCGGACUACGAACCUCCCGCGCCCCCUCCGAUCGAAUCCGACUGGGCGCCAAUCAUGGAGUUCACCGCAGCGGACAUCUUUCAACACUCACCUUUUGGCGACAUCUUGAGUUCGCUAAAAUGUCUCUCAUUAUCAGGAGAGCCCUGGCCAGACUGCGGUCAGGACCAUUGGGAUGCGGACGACGAAGAAAUUCAAAGCCCACCCACCACCCACUUGGUAGCCGAUGUCGACGAUUUAACCGACAUGCUAGACUACGACUUUGAAGACAUCGACGGUAUGGAUGACGAUGCCGGAGACGAACAAGAACCAGCGCCUACCGGGCACUGGAAAGCCACCUCAUCAUACGACAUAUACAUGGUGGAUAUCCCAAAGGAUGGGAAUGGCGGAGGAACAGAGGAGGAUGACCCCUCCAAGAAACAGCCCAAGCGCCGGCGUCAGCGGCGCCGGUCUAAAUCCCGCCACAGCAAGAAUGAAGAUUCCGGCACCGGAGAUAACAAUACACUGAAUAGUGCCGAAGACAACCCACUCCAGCAAGAUCCAGCGCAGGAGGAUGGAAACGCCAGCCCUCAUGAGAGAGCGGCAGAAGAAGAGGUAGAGGAUUAUAUGCCUCCCUCCGGAGACGAAGCAAGCCUCGACGAUGAUGAAUUCGUCGUGCCUGAGGAUCCCGUCGAACAAGAGCGUUUUAAACGCAGGCUUAUGGCCAUGGCAAACAGCCUCAAGAAAAAGCAGCAACAGCUUAGAGCUGAUCAAGAUCUGCUAGCCGACAGAUGGACUGAAGUCCUCGCGGCCGAAGAGCAUGAGCUCGAACGCCCCUCCAAAAGCUACCCUAAACGCAAGCUGCUCCCCCGAUUAGAGGAGGAAGCGUAUGAACCCGCAUCACCAGGAGACAAUAGGCUGACCGACCACUCCGUUGUCGCGACAGAGAGGCCUCUAGGCCCUUCACUAGACCCGUACUCUGGCACCGCUCGAAAAGCACAAGACCACAGGGGAACGCUCCGGACUUGCGAAAUAUAUUGGAGGAUAAGGCAAGACAAUCAAGAUCGAUUUAUGGAUCGUGUGGGCGUCCCACGGUACGUGACGACAACCGUCGCGCCGGACACAGUAAGUCCGGCCGGGCCGAACAAAAUAGACAAAGCUCUUUUGAGCUCCGUCAUGAUAUCGCCCAGUACAGAGGCACGGCACACCCACUAUGCUUCACAGAUAAAGUAAUGGAUCAUCAAAUCCCCGAAGGGUUUAAACCCGUGAAUAUCGAAUCUUACGAUGGCACAACAGACCCCACGGUUUGGAUCGAAGACUAUCUUCUUCACAUCCACAUGGCCCGCGGUGACGAUCUUCACGCCAUCAAAUAUCUCCCCCUCAAGCUUAAAGGACCAGCCCGGCAUUGGCUUAACAGCCUGCCAGUAGAGUCAAUUGGGAGUUGGGAAGACCUGGAAGCCGCAUUCCUCGAUAACUUCCAAGGCACGUAUGUGCGACCACCAGACGCUGAUGACCCAAGCCAUAUAACUUAGCAGCCAGACGAAUCGGCCAGACAAUUCUGGACACGGUUCUUAACCAAGAAAAACCAAAUCGUCGAUUGUCCGGAUGCGGAGGCUCUCGCAGCCUUCAAGCAUAACAUCCGCGAUGAGUGGCUUGCCCAGCACCUGGGACAGGAAAAGCCGAAAUCCAUGGCAGCCCUUACAUCACUCAUGACCCGCUUUUGCGCGGGUGAGGACAGCUGGCUAGCACGCAGCAACAACCUCAGCAAAAAUUCUAGCAGUCCGGAUUUCAAGGACCGGAAUGGCAGGUCGCGUCGUAACAAAAGCAAGCGCCGCAUUAACGGCGACAAUAGUGAGGAUACGGCAGUCAAUGCCGGAUUCAGAGGCUCCAAACCCGGUCAGCGGAACCAUUCAAAAGAACUGCUCCGGGUCCGUCCAAUUUGGACCGAAUACUCGACCGCUUGUGCCAGAUACACAGCACCCCCGAAAAGCUAGCUAACCACACCAAUAGGGACUGUUGGGUAUUCAAGCAGGCAGGCAAGUUAAUUGCCGAAAACAAUGACAAGGGGCUGCAUGGCGAUGACGAGGAAAAGACCCGACCGCCGAACAAUAGAGGACAGAAGGGUUUCCCCCCACAUGUGCGGAGGGUGAACAUGAUAUACGCAACGCACAUACCCAAAAGGGAGCGGAAGCAUGCACUCAGGGAUGUAUACGCGAUGGAGCCAGUCGCCCCGAAGUUCAAUCCAUGGUCCUCCUGCCCGAUCACUUUUGACCGAAGGGACCACCCCACCAGCAUCCGCCAUGGCGGAUUCGCCGCAUUGGUCUUAGACCCAAUCGUCGAUGGAUUUCACCUCACUAGAGUCCUGAUGGACGGCGGCAGCAGCCUGAACCUACUUUAUCAGGAUACAGUGCGCAAAAUGGGCAUAGACCCCUCAAGGAUUAAACCUACCAAGACGACCUUUAAAGGCAUCAUACCAGGUGUAGAAGCCAAUUGUACAGGCUCAGUUACACUGGAAGUGGUCUUUGGAUCCCCGGAUAACUUCCGCAACGAGGAGUUAAUCUUCGACAUAGUCCCAUUCCGCAACGGCUAUCAUGCCUUGCUCGGACGUACCGUGUUUGCAAAGUUCAACGCGGUGCCGCACUAUGCAUACCUCAAGCUCAAGAUGCCAGGCCCUAGAGGAGUCAUCACGGUCAACGGAAACACUGAACGUUCUCUCCGAACGGAGGAACAUACAGCGGCUCUCGCGGCAGAAGUACAAUGCAGCCUCUUAAGGCAAUUCUCGAGUCCGGCCAUUAAGCGGCCGGACAUAGCUAAGCGCGCCUGGAGUAACCUACAACAAGACCACCUGGCACGUUCCGAGCACGCGUAGCAGUGCGGCCCCAACCCCAGCCCCUAUAAAACGUCCAAACAGGUCCUUCGCGUACACCGUUCCGCUCUGAAGAUACCAUGGGCAUGGGGAGAGGGGCACGACCACAAUAAGCCCAGACUGCGGCUCAACCACACCAGGGGCUCGCAAGUGUGUCGUUCUUUUUUUUCUUUUUACCUUUUAUUUUUUACCCACAGGACUCCGUUCGUUAGAGGCCCUGUCCGGCAGCAGACCUGCCGAACUCACGAUGCAACAGCCAGGGAAGGAUACAGGCUACAACGAAUAUACAGGUGGUCUCCAUUACGAGCAUUUUUAUACACCAAUCCGCAGCCUACCCCUGGAGGGGGAUAUGUUUAACAGUCCGAUCCCUUGCUUAUCGCACUAUUUGUAUCGUUCUGCAUUCAUAGCAGCACUUAUUGAAUAAAACAAUGCAGCACCUUUCUGCUUAUAAUUGCAUUUCCCUUUCAUACAUAUGUUCAUUUACGACAUGUUGCAUCCGUACACUUUGGUACGGUUAACACACAGCAGGGGCUUAUGUUUCCCGCAUCAUGGUGUGAUAAGUCCGAACACUUUCACAAGUGCGGCACCCUGAACUUAUAGCAUUAUAUGCAUCGGCUCCGAAUCAUGUCUUGGGUCAAUAGUUGGGUUUGCCCGGCUCCCAUGUUUUGGUACCUUACGUUCCGUUAUAUCGGCUAAGGUAGCACUGGGAGAACCACUGCGAUUGCGCCCCGGUUGAGCUGGGUUAACGCCUCAGUGGAGAAAGCUAAAACUGACCGUCAUGAUGAGGCGAGAGCCGGUCACUGUUCGAGAGGUUUUUGCGAGUCCUUAAAGACUUAUGCCGCUUAGAGCGAGGAGCCGGAUCUUGUCCGGCCCAGGCGUGGAUAGCGCCCCAAAUUCGGCCUUCCGAAGACUAGGGGCUUCGCCGAAAUUUAAAAUUAUAGAAUUCUAUGGCUAAGUGAGAGUGUUCAAGCAUUAUAAGUCUGGUUGCCUUGUUCGUUGUGUUGAGCGCCUCCCUAGAUGGACCCAAAUAUGGGAACAAGAGCGCUCAAAUUUAUCCCAAACACCCCAGCACUCGUGGCGUGGGGGCUGAAGCCGACGACUUGCCAUCUCUCGGAUUUGAUAAACAGCCGCACAGAAGGUAAUAUUUUAAAUUAAAAAGCGUUGCUUAGCGCAAAUGAACUAAGUUUUCAGCGCACAUGAUAACAAAAUGCGAGUCUACUCAAAUAUUACAUCUUUGGAGCACUCACCCGCAAUAGUGCGGGCGCCCUUCAGCACACUCUUAUAAUACAUCUCGGGCGUGCAAUGCUCCUUGCCCUCUGGUGGUGGGUCUGUCACAAGCUUCUGGGCAUCCAUCUUGCCCUAGUGCACCUUUGUGCGGGCAAGGGCCCGACGGGCACCCUCAAUACAGGCGGAGUGCUUGAUGACUUCAACCCACGGGCACGCCUCCACCAGCCGCCGCACCAGGCCGAAGUAGCUCCCAGGCAUGGCCUCCUUAGGCCACAGCCGAACUAUGAGGCCCUUCAUGGCCUGUUCGGCCGCCUUGUGGAGCUCGACCAGCUACUUCAGCUGGUCGCUAAGGGGCACCGGAUGUCCGGCCUCAGCAUACUGAGACCAGAAGACCUUCUCCGUCAAGCUCCCCUCCUCGGCCCGGUAGAAUGCGGCAGCAUCGGACACGCUACGAGGAAGAUCUGCGAACGCUCCUGGAGAGCUCCGAAUUCGGGUAAGCAAUAGGUAAUGAACACUCACAUGCUUACUUUGCAUGAAAAAUGCCUUACUCGCUGCUAUUUUCUUCACCGCCUCAAUCUCCUGGAGGGCCGUGUAGGCUUCGGCCUUAGCGGCUUUGGCACUCUCAAGAGCCGUUGCAAGCUCGGACUCUCGAGUCUUCGAGUCAUGCUCCAGGCUCUCAUGUUUUUUCACGAGAUCCUGGAGCUCUUGUUGUACCUCCGCCACCCGCGCCUCCUGUUUCUCUCGCUCCGUGCACUCUGCGGCCACAUUUCGUUCGACCGCGGUCACCGCCUAUUUCAGGGUCGCCACCUCAUUAGUGGCCCCUGCAAUACCCACGUUAUCCUUGUCAUUCUUUUUGCAACCAAAAUCCUUUUUUGUAAGGUACAAUUUUAAUAAGGUGUUACUCACCUUCCUUAUCCUCGAGCUACUUCUUUGCACGGCCGAGCUUGUUCUCGGACCGCUCGAGGUUUUCCUUCAAAGUAUUGACCUCCGCAGUCAGUGCGGCAGAGGUCAGCAGCGCAGCCUGCAAUCCCAUAUUGAUAUAUUUUUUAUGACUCCUGCGUAUAUCUUUUUUAAGAUCCUCAGUCCGGCUUUUCUUUCCGAACACCGAACCGAGCAUCAGGGGCUACUGUCUAUGCGGUACCAUUUUAUACAUAUUGAAAUUCUUACCUCAAAGCCUGUUAGAAGGCUGCUGCAGGCUUCGGUCGUCCCACUCUUGGCGAGCUGCACCUUCUGAAUCACCGCACUCAUAACAGUGCAGUGUUCUUCUUCGAUGGAGGCGCCGUUGAGUGCCUCCAGCAAGUUAUCCGGCACCUCCGGUUGGACGGAGGAAGCCGGCGUCACGGUCUUGCCCUUCUUGCGAAGGGGUCGCCCGCCGGACUCCGGAGCCCCUGUGGGUUCCGGGGCCGAGUCCGGUGCAAAGUCCGGGAGGUUGUCCUGCGAUACCUCCAGGGCCCUCUCCUCCUGGUGGGUCCCUUCCUGGGAUCCCACCUCGGCAUCAUCCACAUUACGGGGGGUCGAGGCCGUCGGAAGAGAAUCCAUAUCCGACGCACCUAAGGACCCGCUCGACGAGGCGGGAAGAUCAUCCUUAGGCGGACUGCAGGGUUGUAUGCGGCAUUAGAAAAACAUUAUGUGGCGAAAAAUAAAAACCUUGAAGUUAUUCGGGAGUCCGAAUACUUACGAUCUCGCCAGGGGCUUGGCCCUUGGAGGCCAGUCCUCGUCGUCGUCACUAUCGUUGGCGGAGCAGUUCGAGGGAAGAGUUUUUCCCUUNNNNNNNNNNNNNNNNNNNNNNNNNNNNNNNNNNNNNNNNNNNNNNNNNNNNNNNNNNNNNNNNNNNNNNNNNNNNNNNNNNNNNNNNNNNNNNNNNNNNNNNNNNNNNNNNNNNNNNNNNNNNNNNNNNNNNNNNNNNNNNNNNNNNNNNNNNNNNNNNNNNNNNNNNNNNNNNNNNNNNNNNNNNNNNNNNNNNNNNNNNNNNNNNNNNNNNNNNNNNNNNNNNNNNNNNNNNNNNNNNNNNNNNNNNNNNNNNNNNNNNNNNNNNNNNNNNNNNNNNNNNNNNNNNNNNNNNNNNNNNNNNNNNNNNNNNNNNNNNNNNNNNAGUCCCUGUGGCCUUCUUCUUGGCCUUCUUCUCCGGCACCACAUGGGGUGCCAGAGCCAGCAGCCCCGUUAGGCGGGCGUCCACUGGGUCCUCUGGCAAUGGGGCCGGACAGAUAGUCCGUUUGGCCUUCGCCAGCCAUUCCUGUCAAAGGUAAAGGGAGUUUAGAUCCUGCAUAGAGUCAAACUAUGGAAAACAAGCGGUGAAAUCACCUACCUCGUCGGCUGGACGCUGCGAGCGGAAUCCGCGAUCUUCAGUAGCGGAUGCAGGAGCUUCGGCGCCCUUGAACAGCACCUUCCAGACAUCUUCGUAUGUAGUGUCGAAGAGCCCGCUCAGGGUCUGGUGCUGCGCCGGAUCAAACUCCCACAUGUUGAAGCCCCGUCGUUGGCACGGGAGAAUCCGGCGAUGAGCAUGACCUGGACUAUGUUGACAAGCUUGAGCUUCUUGUCCACCAGCUUCUGGAUACAGGCUUGGAGUCCGGUCAACUCCUCCGAAUCCCCCCAGAUCCGGCCGCUCUCUUUCCAGGAGGUGAGCCGUGUAGGGAUGCCGGAUCUGAAUUCGGGGGCCGCUGCCCAAUCAGGGUCACGCGGCUCGGUGAUGUAGAACCACCCCGAUUGCCACCCCUUGAUGGUUUCUACGAAAGUGCCCUCCAGCCACGUAACGUGGGACAUCCUGCCCACCAUGGCGCCUCCGCACUCCGCUUGGCUGCCCUUCACAACCUUCGGCUUGACACUGAAGGUCUUGAGCCACAAGCCGAAGUGGGGCUGGAUGCAGAGGAAGGCCUCACACACGACGAUAAAUGCCGAGAUGUUGAGGAUGAAAUUCGGGGCCAGAUCAUGGAAAUCUAGGCCGUAGUACAACAUGAGCCCCCAGACAAAGGGAUGAAGUGGGAAGCCCAGUCCAUGAAGGAAAUGGGGGAGAAAUACUACCCUCUCAUGGGGCCUGGGGGUGGGGAUGAGCUCUCCCUCGUCGGGGAGCCGAUGCGCGAUGUCGCUGGACAAGUAUCCGGCGUUGCGCAGCUUCUGGAUCUGCCCCUCCGUGACGGAGGAGGCCAUCCACUUGCCUCCCGCUCCGGACAUAGUUGGAGAAGGUUGAGGUGAGAAGUGCGGACUUGGGCGCUGGAGCUCGAGUUCGCGGAGAUGGAUAAGCCAAGGAGGAAGAAGGCGCAGGUAAAAGGAGCGGAUCUUUAUCCCCUUAUAUGGGCGGACAAAAACAUGUGUCCCCACCGGCCUGGUAAAACUCGCUUAUCUCCCAAGCAUCACAAUCAAUGGCGCGGUUGGGUUACCCACGUCCGUAUUGAUGGGAAUCCCGGAAUAAGGGGAACACGAUCUCUACUUCGACAAGACGUGCCAAGGAAACCGCCUCGCUAAACAUGCGGAGGUGGAACAAUAAAAACAAUUCGAGUAAAGGCUUGGUAAUGGUGUGAUGUCAUGCCACAAAAUACGUCAGCAGAUUGAACUUGUGUGAUAUUAUUCUCUCUACGGUGGUAUGUGGAAUUUAUUUUGCAGAGUCGGACACUAUCCUGGUGUUCACAAUCUUCUAUAUGUUAUUCGGAGGAAGAACCCGCCUUGCAAUGCCGAAGACAACAUGCGCGCCGGACUCGUCGUCAUUGAAGCCUGGUUCAGGGGCUACUGAGGGAGUUCCGGACUAGGGGGUGUCCGGAUAGCCGAACUAUCAUCAUCGGCCGGACUCCAAGACUAUGAAGAUACAAGAUUGAAGACUUCGUCCCGUGUCCGGAUGGGACUUUCCUUGGCAUGGAAGGCAAGCUUGGCGAUACGGAUAUGUAGAUCUCCUACCAUUGUAACCGACUCUGUGUAACCCUAGCCCUCUCCGGUGUCUAUAUAAACCGGAUGGCUUUAGUCCUUAGGACGAACAACAAUCAUACCAUAGGCUAGCUUCUAGGGUUUGGCCUCAUUGAUCUCGUGGUAGAUCCACUCUUGUAACACACAUCAUCAAUAUUAAUCAGGCAGGACGUAGGGUUUUACCUCCAUCAAGAGGGCCCAAACCUGGGUAAAACAUCGUGUCCCUUGUCUCCUGUUACCAUCUGCCUAGACGCACAGUUCGGGACCCCCUACCCGAGAUCCGCCGCUUUUGACACCGACAACAAUCCUGCUAAAUUUGAGGAGAAGUGGAGCUCAAAACAACAUAGUUGCUUUGUAAGUGUAAAUUUGGUCCAGAAAAUGGAUUUGGAUGAUGCACUCACAUAGAGAAGCAACUUGGAAUCAAAUUUGGCAAUGCAGGGUUAUUUGGCUAUAUAAAGAUGCUGUAAAAAUUUCAUACCAAAUGGACUUGCCAAAAUGGUACUUGCUUCACAAACAUCCUCGCUGACCAGAAAAUUGCAAAAAUUUUGGAGGGAAAAUGGCUUAAGGAAAUGAUCCCAAAUUUGGGGGAGAGAUGUUAUUUGGGUAGGAGCAUUGUAACAUCCCAAAUUUUCAAUUUGGAAUGUUAUACAUUAGAUCAUCAUUCCAUAUCAUAUUUUAUUGCAUUUUGGCUUGAUCUUAGAAAUUCUACGCAACUCAAGGACCCGCGAAGAGAGUUGGGGAUUUCGUUAUUUUCAUAUUUGAGUUUUCUCAAAUUUUGAAAAGAGGACCAUUUGAUUUUAAUUAUUUUCUAUUCGAAUAUUUCUUUUAUAAAAAUAAAAUAGAGGGGAUAAAAUGACUUUCCCAAAAUAAAGAAAUAUUGGCGAUUUAAUAUUAAAAUCAAAUAAGAGUUUUAUUCGGAGUUUUAUUCCUAUUUUAUUUGAAUUAGGAAAAAUAUGCGUUUCUCAUAAUUGCAUUAGAGGCCCAAAUAAAUGUUCACUUUGUCCGCUGUAUUCUUAGAGGACGGGGAAAAUUUAUUUUAGGAUUUUUGGAGUCCCUUUAGUAUUUCUUUUAUUUGUCUUUUCGCGCGCGGAAUUAUUUAAAAAAAAGUUACCGACCUAACGGGCCGUGUCCGACCCGGACACUCCAGCCCGGCCGGACUUUAAGAGGCGAGGCCCGAGCCGCCCCAAACCCUAGCCGCCAGCCCCUAAUCCACUGCCGCCGCCAGCCUCCGCCGCCGCCGCCGCCUCUCGCCCGCGCCGCCGAUCCUCCAGCCACCCGCCGCCGCCGGCGGCCAUCACCAGAGUCGCCGUCGUCUCGCCGCCCACCGACCCCGCCGACGAGGUAGUCGCCGGAUCUGCCACCGGUUUUCUCUAGAAAACUGUGCGGUUUCUUUUUAGAACCGCGGUUGAUUUUUUUAUUUUUAGAUCGGUUUUAUUUUAUUUAUUUUUUCUGGUUUAGUUAUUUAGCGAACGCCCGUUUGUUAGUUUGUUUUAACGAACGGUUUUCACCCGUUAGCCGCAGACAGCGAAUGUUCGUUCGCUAGCCUGUUCGUCAGUUUUUCUUUUUUCAGGGUUUUCCCGCGAUUAUUUUCGAUCGCGAUUUCUGUCCUGAUUUUCGUUUUAGUUUAUCUUUUCGCUUGUUUAUCGAAAUCAGGCGAUUCAAGCGCCUAGAGUUUCAUCUCGAAGCCCUCUUUCUAUUUAACCAACUUAAACAAGAUUUUGCUACUUAAAAUUUGACUUAAGUCCAAAUUAGUAAACAGAGCUUGUUUCUUUCAUUGAAGUUUCGUUGCUUCGUUUGAUUUGAUUCUUUUUGCAAAGCAAAGUUCUUAAGUUGAACUUUCUGGUAGAUCUCUUAUUUGAAUUUUACCCAUGCUUCUAGUUGAGUGCUUAUUGUAUGCUUUUUUAUUGCGAUAGAGUACCCAGAGUGCGAAGCGUGCUACUACGAGUCUCUAGGUUUCACGUAUCAUCAGCAAGGCAAGUAACACUUUGAUCAUACCUCUUUACUACCCAGUUUUAUUGCAUUAGAUCAAUCCUCAAACAAUUGCAUGGUUAGGAUUUGAUUUUAACAUGUGGUUUUUGGGAAGUAGAUGAGGUAGUACCUAUUGUCCUGUUUAUUAUCAAACCUUUGGGGGUUACUUCUACGUUGCUUAUAUUGCUAUGCUAUGCUUGUAGACGUGGAUUGGGUGAGUGUAUCCAUGACAGAUAUGAGUAUUGUUAUUUAAUGGUUUAACUUAAGAUGGCUACUUAAAUAGACAUCUGGGUGGAUUGAGGCACCUGGGGAACCCAGUGUUGCCUGUUUUUUUGGAAAUCUCGGAGUUACGGUGUGAUUAUCCUAUGGACUGCCACCCAGGCUCAAAGGGAUUAUAAGAUUAUUCAUGCUAGAAACUUCCGUGUGCAGCCACAAGCUAUUGUGGGCUCUAGCAUAGUUGAGUAAGUUGCAAGACCUCUUUCAGUGGUGGGCUAGCAGAUGUUGGGGAAAAUAGGUGUAACUGUCCACCCAGAGUAAAGAGUUAUUGUUUUAGAAAGACUGUGUCUCGAUUCUCCGAUCAUGGAUGUAUUCGAGUCUUGUGGGGAAAAGAGCACAAACCUCUGUAGAGUGUAUAAACUAAUCAUGGUUAGCCGUGUCCCCGGUUAUGACAGUUUUGAGUAUCUAGUUCUUGGAUUAUCAUGUUGAUCUCAUCACUCUUAAUUUAAUUUGAUUGGGUUUAAUGAUGAUGCUUAAUUGGGAUUGAGUUGGAGGAACCUUCACAAUGUUUAACAACCACCAUGAUAGUUAAAUAAAGUUAUUCCUUUGUUGUAGGGGAAAAUUGGCUUUAUGCAAAAUAAUAAUCAUAGAGCUUUCCACCAGCCAUAUAUGCAUGUAGUGAUAGCAAUUAUUUAUGUUCAUUACUCUAUGUGUUACAUUGCCAGCAUAUUCCAUGUGCUGACCCGUUUCGGGCUGCAACGUUCAUGUUGCAGACUUUUCGGACGACGAGUAAGGUGCCUUAGGUCGUGAUCUUUCACUCAGUCAUGCUGUUGGAUUUGAUGGACUCACUUUAUCUUCCAAGCCUUCUGUUGUUAUCGAUUUUAGAUCGACGUAAGCCAUAUUUAUUGUAAUAAGUUCUCUGUUGAGACAUUCGAUGUAAUAAGUGUGUGAUUGCUACUCUAUUAUAAAUCCUUCAAGUACUGUGCGUGUUAGCAUUACCCAUCCAGGGAUGACACUGAUGCACAGAAAUCAUACUGUUUGAGGUCUGGUCGCUACAAGAUGGUAUCAGAGCACACACUGACUAUAGGACACGACCACUAAGCUAAAGCCCUAGAUCACUAUUCUCUUCUCAUUUCUGACUCCUCUCCCUUUUCUACUCUUUAGGAUGGCGGAUGCAACGAACAAGUUCACUCAACCGGAUGAAGAUACACCUUUUGGACGCCACUUGAAGGAAGUUACUAGGUACCUGAACAUUGGAAUACCAAGGUUCACCAGGACCUACAUCGCCAAUCUACUAGAAGAGGAGCGUUGGAUGAUUCGAGUUCAAGUUCCAGGAAGGACGUUCAUGCCAGUCAAUGAGCCCAUAGAGUUUUCCUUUGAUGUACCAACCUGGAGUCUAGGAAAGAGCAUGGCAGCCCACAUCACCAUGGGACGCAUUGGAGAAGUUUACCACAAGGAUCUCAAGGAUACUAUCUACCAGAUUUGUAGGCGCCGAGAUGAACAAUGGGAGAUGAUCAGCACCAGGAAGGAUAGAUCCAUUGCAGCUUUCAUCCAGGAGUUAAAUCAGCAUAUUCAUCGCCAAGAGAACCAAAUGUGCGCAGGCAUGAAUGAUCUGAAGAAGGCAAUGACCAGGAUCACGGAGCUGGAGGAAGAACUCAAGUCUACACGCGAUGGAUAUGAGGAGGAAAUGACGAUACUCGUGGAGAAGAAUGAUGAUCUGGCAAGGAAGCUAGGAAUAUUCAUGGGAGACCCCGCGCCAGGAGGAGAGGACGACGAUUCCACUUGCCCGAAGAACUACAUCAUCAUCGACGACACUAACUCAGACCCUGAUGAUAGUGAUGAUGAUUAUGUUGAUGAAUCUGGAGCAGAUAUCAUGGAGUCUUCCACCAAUCAAGUUUUCUAGUCGACCACCAUAUCAGUAGUAGUAUUCCCCCAUGUAUAUAGUAUAGUCCGAGCACUUUUGUAACGAUAGUUAGACCGAUGUAUGCCCUUGUUUGAAUUGAUUGAAGUGAUAUUGUUUGUGUUUGUCUCAUGUGCAUAUGGGUAGUGUUUUUCCCCCUAGACCUCAUUCUAUUCUAUUUUCUCAUCUUCUCUAAACCCAUCAGAUGCCUUCGAGACGCGACAAUGGUUUUGCUUUCCCACCGGAGCUCACUCAGUUGAUCCAGCACCACAAUGCAUUGAUGCAGAUACUAGUCUAGAAUCAGAAUCAGGGGAAUAACAACAAUAACAACCCACCACCACCACCACUUGUUGAUCACUUAGCCCAUUUCCUAAGGUUGAAUCCGCCGGUGUUCUCCAAUAGCACCGAGGUGAUAGUUGCAGAUGAUUGGCUCCGCAAGAUUGGAAGGGAGUUGACCACUACAGGAUGCACAGAUGCAGAGAGAGUGUGUUUUGCUGCACAUCAGCUUGAUGGACCCGCAGCAUCAUGGUGGGAGAAUUUCACAACCACUUACCCCAUUGACACUGUUACAUGGGAUCAGUUUCAGCAAGCUUUUGGCACUGCCCAUGUUUCAGCAGGAGCUAUGGCCAUGAAGAAGUGUGAGUUUUGCAACUUGCACCAAGGAGGACACACAGUAGGUCAAUAUGUGGAUGAUUUUAGUAAGUUAGCAUGUUAUGCCCCGGAUGACGUUGCUACGGAUGCAGCUAAGCAGGAGUAGUUUCUGGAAGGACUGAAUGAUGAGCUGAGCAUGCAGUUGAUGGUGGCAAACUUCAACAACAACCGGGAGUUGGUAGAUAGAGCUCUCAUGAAUGAAGGGAAGCAGCAGCAGAUUGACAACCGCAAGAGGAAGUAUGGACAAGGGAAGUACAAUUCAAGAGCUCAGCAGAGGCCCUGUUUUACCCCAAACUCGGGAGGACACCUUCAACAUAACCAUGGAAGUCACAAUCACAAUGGAGGGAGUUCUCACAACCAUAGUGGCCCCAAGAAUGGGAAUGGGAAUGGAGGAAACAACGACCAAAGUCGUACCAACCCAGCAACGCCCGCCAAGAAGGAUCUAAGUCACAUUACUUGCUACAAGUGCCAGAAGACUGGACAUUAUGCCAAUGAAUGUCCUGAAGCUAAGAAUGGAAAUGGCAAUGGAAUCUCUGGGAAGAAGCCCAACCCUUUCAACAGGGUACAAGUGAACCACGUUAACAUGGAGGAGGUUGAAGCACAGCCAGAUGCAGUAAUAGGUAAGUUUUUGGUUAAGUCAUUUACUGCAAUCGUUCUUUUUGAUACUGGUGCAUCGCAUUCAUACAUAUCAAGAGGAUUUGUGGAUAAGUAUAAACUGCCCACCAAAGUUCUUAGAACACCUAUGUUAGUAAGCUCGCCAGGAGCGGAGCAUAUGGCAAGCCAAGGAUGUUUUCAUAUGCCAUUGACCAUAGGUAGGCAUGUUUUCCCCUCAGACCUGAUAAUUCUGGAGUCGCAAGGUUUGGAUGUGAUUUAGGGUAUGGAUUGGCUAUCGAUGUAUGGAGGAACCAUCGAUUGCACCAACAAGUCGAUUAUGCUUACCACCCUAGAAGGAAGGAGGAUUAAGUAUGUAUCCCGGCAUGUGCCGAAAAGGACUCAAGUAAAUUCCUUAUUAGGAGUUGUACAGGAGGAAGUACCAGUGGUGAAGGAUUUCCCUGAUGUAUUUCCAGAGGAGUUGCCAGGCAUGCCACCGGAUAGAGACAUUGAGUUUUUGAUUGAGCUUUUGCCAGGCACAGGGCCAAUAUCUAAGAGACCGUACUGGAUGCCCGCAAUGCAAGGUUAUUUGGCUAUAUAAAGACGCUGUAAAAAUUUCAUACCAAAUGGACUUGCCAAAAUGGUACUUGCUUCACAAACAUCCUCACUGACCAGAAAAUUGCAACAAUUUUGGAGGGAAAAUGGCUUAAGGAAAUGAUCCCAAAUUUGGGGGAGAGAUGUUAUUUGGGUAGGAGCAUGAUAUGGUAGUUCCUCAUAAUUAAUGACGCAUUAUAAAAUGUACUUGCUUCACAACCUGAAAAUAUUAACAGAAUCAAGGAAUUGAAGCUAUGCUCACAUUGAUGAUUGGAUGGAGCUAAAAAUUGGAGGAGGGUAAUGAUAUAAUCACAUGAAGAGGCCUGCAAAUUUUCAACUCAUUUGGAUACUCCUAGCUAGUAAUUCCUUCACAAUGGCUUCUGUUUGACAGAAACUUUGAAAACGGGGAGUACGUAUUUGUCACCGACAUUACAUUCAUGUUCACACACUCAUUCUAGUCGUCGGUGCUCAUACUUUUUCAUUACACUAUCCAUGCUAGUUUAUUUUCUUUUUCUAGUUUUCUUCUUGUGUGUUUGAUAAACCUUAAGAAAAACCAAAAAAUUAGUUAGCUUACUUUCCAUGCUUGUAGUAGUAAUUAAAAGAAAACCCAAAAAGAUUUCUCGUUCUUCUUUUGCUUGUUGGGAGCUUUCCCGUGUAAAUAGUUUUAUUUCUUUUCUUUCCUUUGGGGGUCGAGAGGAGAAGACCAUAAUGGAAAUGUUUAAGUGGCUCUCGUAUGCAUUAAUGUUGAUUUAACCACGAGCCCAUAUUACCUUGUCUUCUCCCUUGAGUUGAAUGCUUGCAGAUUCUAGCUUAGUCCAAUGCAUGCACUAUUAUUAUUAUACACACCGUUCGGUCAUGAAAGUGAAAGGCAAUAAUGAUGAUAUAUGAUGCACUGAUUGAGAUGAGAGAAGCUGGUAUGAACUCGACCUCUCUUGUUUCUGUAAAUAUGAUUAGUUCAUCGUUCCUGAUUCAGCCUAUUAUGAAUAAACAUGUUUGUAAUGACAAUUAGAGAUUAUAGUUGCUUAUGCCAUUCUUAAUUAGCUAGGAGCUUAUAAUGGUUUACCUUGCAUGCCAACAUCCUAUUAAAAUGGUUGUGAUGUGGUAUGAUAGGGUGGUAUCCUCCUUUGAAUGAUUCAAGUGACUUGACUUGGCACAUGUUCAUGCAUGUAGUUGAAACAAAAUCAACAUAGCCUUCACGAUAUUUAUGUUCAUGGUGGAUUAUAUCCUACUCAUACUUGCACUUAGUGUUGAUUAAUUUUAAUGCAUGUUCAUGACUGUUGUCGCUCUCUAAGUUGGUCGCUUCCCAGUCUCUUUCUAGCCUUCACUUGUACUAACAGGAAUACUGCUUGUGCAUCCAAACUCCAUAAACCCCAAAGUUAUUCCUUAUGAGUCCACCAUACCUUCCUAUAUGCGGUAUUUACCUGCUGUUCCAAGUAAAUUUGUAUGUGCCAAACUCCAGACCUUCAAAUGAAAUUCUAUUUUGUAUGCUCGAACAGCUCAUGUAUCAACUAGGGUUGUCUGUAUCUUCCAUGUUAGGCAGGUUAUUCUCAAGAGGAGUGAACUCCGCUCCUCAUUCACGAGAAAAUGGCUGGUCACCGGGAUGCCCAGUCCCAUGCUCAAAUCAAAUCAAAAUAAUUACAAACAAAACUCCCCCAGGAUUGUUGCUAGUUGGAGGCACCCGUUGUUUCGGGCAAGCCAUGGAUUGAUGCUUGUUGGUGGUGGGGGAGUAUAAACUUUACCAUUUUGUUUGGGAACAGCCUAUAAUGUGUGUAGCAUGGAAGAUAUCAAGAUCUCUUAGUCGUUAUGUUGACAAUGAAAGUAUGCCACUCAAAAUGUUAUUCAUCUCUAUUUCAAAAUUGAGCUUUGGCACCUCUACAAAUCCAUGCUUCCCUCUACGAAGGGCCUAUAUAUUUACUUUUAUGUUGAGUCAUCACCCUCUUAUUAAAAAGCACCCGCAAGAGAGCACCGCUGACAUUUGCUUGCAUUACUAUUAGUUUAUAUUGGGCAUGACUAUGACUGGAUCUCUUUUACCAUGAAUUACAAUGUUUAGACAGUCCUUGAUCUUUAAAGGUGCUCUGCAUUUAUGUUUUGCGGUCUCAGAAAGGGCUAGCGAGAUACCAUCUUGUUAUAUCAUAUUAUGAUUGUUUUGAGAAAGUGUUGUCAUCCGAGAUUUAUUAUUAUUGCUCGCUAGUUGAUUAUGCCAUUGAUAUGAGUAAACAUGAGACCUAGGUAUUAUUGUGAAUAUGGUUAGUUCAUAAUCUUUGUUGAAAACUUGAAUGCUGGCUUUACAUAUUUGCAGCAACAAGAGCAAACAGAGUUUGUAGAAGUUUUUCUUUAUCACUUUCAGUUUGUCAACUAAAUUUCUUGAGGACAAGCAAAGGUUUAACCUUGGGGGAGUUGAUACAUCUCCGUCGUAUCUACUUUUCCAAACACUUUUGCCCUUGUUUUGGACUCUAACUUGCAUGAUUUGAAUGGAACUAACCCGGAGUGACGUUGUUUUCAGCAGAACUGCCAUGGUGUUAUUAUUGUGAAGAAAUAAAAGUUCUCGGAAUGACAUGAAAAUCCACGGAGCAACUUUUCAAAAUAAAUAAAAAAUAUUGGCAAAAGAAUCAACAUCAGGGGGCCCACACCCUGUCCACGAGGGUGGAAGGUGCGCCCCCUCCCCUAGGGAACACCCCCUGCCUCAUGGGCCCCCUGGACAUCCACUGACCUCAACUCCAACUCCAUAUAUUUGCUUUCGCGGAGAAAAAAAUCAGAGAGAAAGUUUCAUCGCGUUUUACAAUACGGAGCCACCGCCAACCCCUAAUCUCUCUCGGGAGGGCUGAUCUGGAGUCCGUUCGGGGCUCCGAAGAGGGGGAUUCAUCGUCGUCGUCCUCAUCAACCAUCCUCCAUCGCCAAUUUCAUGAUGCUCACCGUCGUGAGUGAGUAAUUCCAUCGUAGGCUUGCUAGACGGUGAUGGGUUGGAUGAGAUUUACCAUGUAAUCAAGUUAGUUUUGUUAGGGUUUGAUCCCUAGUAUCCACUAUGUUCUGAGAUUGAUGUUGCUAUGACUUUGCUAUGCUUAAUGCUUGUCACUAGGGCCCGAGUGCCAUGAUUUCAAAUCUGAACCUAUUAUGUUUUCAUGAAUAUAUGUGAGUUCUUGAUCCUAUCUUGCAAGUCUAUAGUCACCUAUUGUGUGUUAUGAUCUGACAACCCUGAAGUGACAAUAAUUGGGAUAAUUCUCGGUGAUGACCGUAGUUUAAGGAGUUCAUGUAUUCACUAAGUGCUAAUGCUUUGCUCCGGUACUCUAUUAAAAGGAGGCCUUAAUAUCCCUUAGUUUCCAUUAGGACCCCGCUGCCACGGGAGGGUAGGACAAAAGAUGUCAUGCAAGUUCUUUUCCAUAAGCACGUAUGACUAUAUUCGGAAUACAUGCCUACAUUACAUUGAUGAACUGGAGCUAGUUCUGUGUCACCCUAUGUUAUAGCUAUUACAUGAGGAAUCACAUCUGACAUAAUUAUCCAUCACUAAUCCAAUGCCUACGAGCUUUUCACAUAUUGUGCUUUGCUUAUUUACUUACCGUUGCUACUGUUACCAUUACUACAAAACUGCUACUGUUACUUUUUCUACUGUUACCGUUACUUCCAUACUACUUUGCUACUAAAUACUUUGUUGCAGAUACUAAGUUAUCUAGGUGUGGUUGAAUUGACAACUCAACUGCUAAUACUUAAGAAUAUUCUUUGGCUCCCCUUGUGUCGAAUCAAUAAAUUUGGGUUGAAUACUCUACCCUCGAAAACUGUUGCGAUCCCCUAUACUUGUGGGUUAUCAGUACCUCCUAAGACUAGCAGAUGAUUUGAAAGCCAAAUGUCACUUCCAUUGUUAUUAUCCAUGUUGAUGUCAACGUUGUAAUAUGCAAAAUUUUAGUCUUCCAGAUCAACAUUAUUUUAUGGAUGUAGCAACUGUCAGUGAGUAACAUAAUCUAAUGAAUAGAUUAUCAAUGGCCCACUUGCACCAAUGCAGACUAAAUUUCAAUGAACAAUUAUAAAAUUCAGUUUUGAUAAAGCACAUCCAUGUGUGCUAUAAGUAUUGUACAUCUAAGUUCUAUAUCAUUUAUUUUAUGCUAAGAUUCAUGCAAGCAUUUCUUUUGUCUUUUUUCCUUUUGAUAAAUCAUCAUGAUAAAAUCCAAUACGACAUACACUAGUUAUACAAAACAGAGAUCAUAGGCAUACUUAUCUUCUCUGCAACUAUAAUCUCGCCGUCAUGGUGCAAGGCCUCUCGGCGAGACGGCAUGGCUGCCUGGGAGGCAGUGACCUGGCUAACUUUGGCAGUCCGGCCCUCCCCUGACUUGGGGCUCUAUGGGAGAUGGAUAUCAAGAAGCGAUCUAUUAUCUCCGUCGAUCCACUUGGCCUAGCUGUAUGCUACUACUAUAGUUAGGAAAUCAAUUGGAUGCACAAUUUUCGGCUAGUGGAUAAGAUAGCAAAUCAGGAGCUUCUUUGGCAACACCUCCUAAUUAUUCGCAUGCAAUAACUGAUCCAUCCAUCAAUCGUAGUUGCAAAGGAUCUCAAAUUCAAUCCAGGAAGGAAAUCAGGGGAAAUGAUCUACAUUCAUUUUUCAUGGAUGGAAUACGUAAUACUUCAUCUGUUUAGCAUUUGGGGGGGCCCUUGGCACUAGGGGGGCCGGGGCGGCCGCCCCUCUCGGCCCCCCUCAGGGUCGGGCCUGGUCUUGGUAUGAGUUUGAGCAUGAUGAGCCACUCGGGAGAAGAAGAAAUGAUGAUCUACCAGGUUUUAAGUCCAUAGAUCCGCUCCAAAAAGGAAAACAAAGCAAAAAUCAAAUAAACCAAAAAGAAAAAGAAAAGGGCUGAAAACCAGGCUGUCACAAACCUUCCCCCCUUAAAGAAAUCUCGUCCUCGAUAUUUGGUUGCUCAGGGAACAAGUAUGACUUGAGGACACCGUUUCCAACUCGGGUAUCCAUUUCCUUUGUUUAUUGUUCCCAAAAAUUUCAUAUGAUUUUCUUACCUUGCUCUGGGGUGGUUUGCUUCACCUUUCCCACAUUCUGACAGGUUUUUCCUCAUAUACCAAAGUCUUAUGCUGACGGUGAUAUUUUCAUAUCUGUUGGUGAUAUUCUGAGCAUGACUUUCCUUUGGGGAAAACCCUUUUUCAUAGGCCAUUGGGUUGUCCAAACCAUUGCAUGUGUUUCGGGUACAAACAAUACUCAGAAUCAUGACCACUCUUCUGACGAGGUCUGACUGCCCGAAAGUGGUACUGACUCCUCUUGGUUUGCUUCUCUGGCUUGAGCAGGAGAUAUUUACCAAGGAUCCGACGGUCUUCCGUCAAGGGCUAUAUAACGGAGUAUGGGCUUGUAGAUGUAGCAUACCUCAAACAUUAAUAUCUUGAGACUGUACUGACAGGAUGCUGACGGGAAAAUACUUUUUAUGACAGACUAUCCGUGUACUGCAUUUUGCAAGCGAGUACAUCUGAUUUGAGCUGAUGGUUUGGCUGUUGGCUUACCCAUGUUGUCGGUAUACUCAUUUGUGGCAAUAGACUGCAGGGUGUUUUGACACGGUUGUCGACAUCAAACUGCGGAGGAACUCUUGGGUCUAACAGAAUAGGCUGGAAUAUUCAACAUUAAUCACUUUAACCGGGUCAGUGGAAUAUGAAGUCCUUGAAGAAUAGAGUAGGUCUAUGAAGGUGUGCCUUUGUGGAUCCAUAUGGAAUAUUGGCAUCCAACUGUCUUGGGUAUCCGGUCCUUGAUGCCCGCAAAAAUCAGCAUACCUUUGCUUCCAGUCUCUUGUUCUGUCGAUGAUUUUCUUUGUCAGGGUAUCUUACUGAAAUAUCUUGGCCACCUAUGUCUUUGAUUCUUCGUGCAUCCAUUAAUUUGGCUAGUGCAAUAUUUUUGGCACCAUUGCUUGUGCUCGUUUUUCUGACCUGGUUCCGCACACAUAUGACAUACUCGGAGCUUGUGGCUGUACAGAGCUCAUUGUUGAGGCCAACCAUAAAAGAGGGUGACAAGGUUUCACGAGACUCCUUGUCAGGUGCGGGAAUAAUGACCUUGUGAUCAUUGUCAAGACUGUUGACUUUGCAUUGUCAGCUCCAGAAAUUGUCGAUCCUUUCAUUAUACGAGGGUGCACAAAUCUGGGUGGGUAUGCGUUGGCCAACCACUCCAUGUCCAACCACGAUGCACAACGUGCGCACGACGCGGUCAGCGUGUGAGACAGGCGACGCUUCAGGAUUCGUUCAAGUGAGAAAAUCGAACCUAGCCAAUGAAAGAUCUUGCUGAGCCCACUAGUCAUCUGAAGCCACGAAAGAACCUGGGUCAAAAAAGAUCGUAAAAAUCAAAUGGUCGAUGCAGUCAUGCUGACCAGACCAAAACUGAUCGAAUGACCAAAAUGGAGCGAGCAAUCGGGAGGGCGGGUCGCCCACCCUCCUUAUAUGUUAGAAUGAGUUGUAUUUCUGCUCAUCUUCAUUUGGCAUGACUCCUAAGUUUUGUUGAAUCCUUACCUUCCUUAGGUAAUUCCGAUUGAUCACAGUUGUAUUCUUGAAUGAGUGACUUGCAUGUCCAGGGAUACAUUCUCACCAUAUAUGUGGAAAUAUAUGUAGUCGAACACUUGAUUUCUGAAGAAGGCAUGUGCCUUGAUUGAUUUGUACUUCUGACAAAAAUAUUGUUGAUCUGAUUCUUGAGAUGCACUGCCAUAUGCUACCAUCUCACCGUAUAAUCUCUGAGGAUGGUGCAAUAGUGUGGUACUAGCGCGGACUGGGUGGCUUACGAGAGAAGCCAUCCGAGUAGCUUGCUGAAGAAGACUCGGUAGCUUCUGCUCGAAGCUUUUGCGGGGGUAGCGUGCAGAAGAAACCGCAAUAGCUUACAUGCGAAGCUUGUCCUGGGUAUCAUGUUGAAGAAACCUCGAUAGCUUACAUACGAAGAUUAACCAGUGUAUUGUGCUGGAGAAGCUCGGGUUCUGUACUUGCGAAGCUUCUCCUCUUGUUUCCUAUUGAGAAAGAUUCAGUUCCUUAUGUCACAAGCUUUUACCAGGGUACCUUGCAUUGGAGGACUGGGUAUCUUGGACCGGAAUAUGUCCAUAUAUCAUACUGAAAAAUUUUGAGGGGCCUUGCAUCAUAAGCUUCUUCUGAUAGCGUGUGGAGGAAAUCUAAGCUUCUUAUAUCAAAAACUUCUCACAGUGAUGUGUGGAUUGGAUACCAUACAUAUGUCCUUAAUAUCUGUGUGUCUGGUUACUUGCCUUGUAAAAUUAUUUGACUGACUUCCUAGGUCAAAGCACAUUUUGGCUUUCUUUCCAAAGUAGAGCAUGUUUCCCAAGUUCAUUCAUAGCUGAAGCAGACAUUGUAUAUGAAUCAUACCUUGUACCAAAAAUGUACCAUUGGUCUUGUGCUUGCCUUAUCUUUCUGCUGGUUUGAUCGUUAUUGCUGCAAAAGGGGCAUAACAAAUGCGGAUUUGCUCUUGAUUUUCGAUUAGUGAAACCAUUUAUAUACCAAGCAGAUAUUCCCAACAUGAUGCAGUCAACUUAGAAUCCCAUACUAUUUAUUUGAGCUUCCAUAUAUUUUCUAUCCUUGCUGCUUCUUUGAGUUCAACGCCGGUUGAUGAGCACGCUUUAGAGGAGAAAAUAAUGUAACACCGGGGCCCAAAAAGAAGCAGACAAAACAACUCAACCAAACCAAGGAAUAAAAAGGCAUACAGAUCACACACAAACAAUAUCACAUAUAUGUGAUGACCCACAAGUAUAGGGGAUCUAUCAUAGUCCUUUCGAUAAGUAAGAGUGUCAAACCCAACGAGGAGCAGAAGGAAAGGACAAGCGGUUUUCACCAAGGUAUUCUCUACAUGCACUGAAAUUAUUGGUAACGGAUAGUUUUGUGAUAAGAUAAUUCAUAACGGGUAACAAGUAACAAAGGUAACUAAGGUGCAGCAAGGUGGCCCAAUCCUUUUUCUAGCAAAGGACAAGCCUGGACGAACUCUUAUAAAGAAACGCGCUCCCGAGGACACAUGGGAAUCAUUGUCAAGCUAGUUUUCAUCAUGCUCAUAUGAUUCUCGUUCGUUACUUUGAUAAUUUGAUAUGUGGGUGGACCGGUGCUUGGGUGUUGUCCUUACUUGGACAAGCCUCCCACUUACGAUUAACCCCUCUCGCAAGCAUCCGCAACUACAAAAUAAGAAUUAAGGUAAACCUAACCAUAGCAUGAAACAUAUGGAUCCAAAUCAGCCCAUUAUGAAGAAAUGCAUAAACUAGGGUUUAAGCUUCUGUCACUCUAGCAACCCAUCAUCUACUUAUUAUUUCCCAAUGCCUUCCCCUAGGCCCAAAUCAUGGUGAAGUGUCAUGUAGUUAGCGUUCACAUAACACCACUAGAGGAGAGACAACAAUCAUCUCAUCAAAAUAUCGAACGAAUACCAAAUUCACAUGAUUACUUAUAACAAGACUUCUCCCAUGUCCUCAGGAACAAACAUAACUACUCACAAAGCAUAUUCAUGUUCAUAAUCAGAGGGGUAUUGAAUAGCAUUAAGGAUCUGAACAUAUUAUCUUCCACCGAAUAAACCAACUAGCAUCAACUACAAGGAGUAAUCAACACUACUAGCAACCCAUAGGUACCAAUCUGAGGUUUUGAGACAAAGAUCGGAUACAAGAGAUGAACUAGGGUUUGAGAGGAGAUGGUGCUGGUGAAUAUGUUGAUGGAGAUUGACCCCUGUCGAUGAGAGGAUCGAUGGUGAUGACGAUGGCAUUGAUUUUCCCCUCCCGGAGGGAUUUUCCCGGCAGAACAGCUCCAUCGGAGCCCUAGAUCGGUCCUGCCCAGGUUCUGCCUCGAGAUGGCGGUGCUUCGUUCUCAAAGCUUCUCUCUGAUUUUUUUUCAGGGUAAAAGACACCAUAUAGCAGAAGAUGGGAGUCGGGGGCCUGCCAGGGGGCCCACGAGGUAGAGGGUGCGCCCUCAACCCUCGUGGCUGACUGGUGGCCCCCCUCUGGUGCUUUCUUCGCCCAAUAUUUUUAAUAUAUUCCAAAAGUAAUCUCUGUGAAGUUUCAGGACGUUUGGAGUUGUGCAAAAUAGGUCUCUAAUAUUUUCUCCUUUUCCAGUCCAGAAUUCUAGCUGUCGGCAUUCUCCCUCUUUAUGUAAACCUUAUAAAAUAAGAGAGAAAAGGUAUAAGUAUUGUGACAUAACGUGUAAUAACAGCCCAUAAUGCAAUAAAUAUUGAUAUAAAAACAUGAUGCAAAAUGGACGUAUCAACUCCCCCAAGCUUAGACCUCGCUUGUCCUCAAGCGGAAGCCGAUAUCAAAAAAAAUAUCCACGUGUUUAGAGAUAGAGGUGUCAAUAAAAUAAAAUACGGACAUGAGGGCAUCAUGUUCAUCUUUAGAACAGCAACAUAUAUUGUCAUAUGAUUUCUUAUGCUAAAGUAACAAUCCAUUCACAAGGUAAAGUAUGAAUCAGAAACUUCAUUGAAAACUAACAAACUAUGAUCCCAGUCACUAAGGCAAUUGCAAUUUACCAUAACAUCAGAAAGAGUCAAUAUAAGAGCUUUUCAGCAAGUCCAUACUCAAUUAUCAUUUAGUCUUUCACAAUUGCUAACACUCACGUGAUACUUAUGGGUACAAAGUUUCAAUCAGACACAGAGAAAGAUAGGGGCUUAUAGUUUCGCCUCCCAACCUUUUACCUCAAGGGUAAUGUCAACAAUAAUACUUUAUGAAAACCUACAUCUGAGUGGAUAUAUAUAUUCGGAUCUCUCCAACACAUAGUGCUCGCCAAAGGAUAAAGUGCAAAAAGGAAAGGUGAAGAUCACCAUCACUCUUGUAUGAAGGUAGAACGUAAAAAUAAAAGAUAGGCCCUUCGCAGAGGGAAUCAGAGGUUGGCAUGCACUUUUAUGGUUGGAUGCACAAAAUCUUAAUGCAGAAGAACAUCACUUUCUAUUGCCACUUGUGAUAGGAACCUUUAUUAUGCAGUCUGUCGCUUUUAUUUCUUCCAUAUCACAAGCUCAUAUAAAGCUUAUUUUCUUCCACUAAUAGAUCAUACAUAUUUAGAGAGCAAUUCUUAUUGCUUGCACCGAUGACAACUUCCUUGAAGGAUCUUACUCAAUCCAUAGGUAGGUAUGGUGGACUCUCAAGGCAAAACUGGGUUUAGGGAUGUUUGGAAGCACAAGUAGUAUCUCUACUUGGUGCAAAGAAUUUAGCUAGCAUGAGGGGGAAAGGCAAGCUCAAUAUGUUGGAUGAUCCAUGACAAUAUAAUUUCUUCGGAUAUAAGAAAACAUAACCCAUUACCUUGUCUUCCUUUUCCAACAUCAACUUUUUAGCAUGUCAUAUUUUAAUGAGUGCUCACAGUCAUAAAGAUGUCCAAGAUAGUAUAUUUAUAUGUGGAAACCUCGCUUUCUUUAUUACUUCCUAUUAAUUGCAACGAUCACCAAAACUAUGUUUGUCAACUCUCAACAACUUUUAUUCAUCAGACCCUUUAUAUGUGAAGCCAUUACUCUCCAUAAGGUCAAUAUGAUAUUUUUAUGUCUUUUUAUUCUUUCUUUUAUUCCCUCAAGAUCAUAGCAAGAUAGCAAAGCUCUCAACUCAAAACUAAUCUUUAUUAUAUAUAUAACUCAAGGACUCGAUUACAUAGAUAGAGAUCAAAACAAAACUUAAAGCUAGAUCAUACUAAAACUUUAUUCUACUAGAUCAAGAUAUAACCAAAAGGAUCGAACUAAGAAAAGAUAAAGAUAGAAGUGUGAUGGUGAUACGAUACCGGGGCACCUCCCCCAAGCUUGGCAGUUGCCAAGGGGAGUGCCCAUACCCAUGUAUUUAUGUCUAUUUCUUGGAAGGUGGUGAUGAUGGAGUUGUUGAUGAUGUAGGCUUGUCGUCCGUCUUCCAAGGCAUAGGCUCACCAUCAUAGAAGGAUGAACGAGUCUCCGGGAUCCUCAAAUCUGCAGCCAAACUCAUCCUCUUGAAUCUAUAUUCAUACUCAUAGUUUUGGUUUUGCAGGUCAUGGAUCUGGGCGUGGAGGUGCUCGAUUUUAUCAUGAAGCUUGAAGAUGGCCUCCCCGUUGUUCU